ACAGAUCGAAAGCUUGUAGGUAGGUCUUCAUUUUAACCACCCAUAUGUGGUAGCCUUCUCCAUUGAAGACUUGAGGUGCAGCUGGUGAAAAGCUUGAUGAAGCCAUGAAUUUGUAUAAUAGAUCCCUUAAGAAAUAGGCUCUUGAUACCAAUUGUUGGAGCUAAGUGCAACAAAUAGCAAGGUUCAACAAAAAGCUUGCCGAGCAAGAAUCGAGACUUGCGGCAGAAACAAAGAAGAAAAAUGAAAUAAAUUUUAAGCAAAGCUAAAAUAGAGAGUAUAUGGAUGAAAUCUUGAUUGAAUUCCUUCAUUUUUUUAAAAUGGCAUAAAGCCUAUUUAUACAAGCUUACAACUUGACAACUUAGUUGGAAUACAACUAAGUUUCAUCAUUACAUCCACUUAAAAUAAAUCACCACCUACUACCAUUCCAACUAAGUUUCAUCAUUACAUCCACUUAAAAUAAAUCACCACCUACUACCACUAACAAACUUAGUUGGAAUACAACUAAGUUUCAUCAUUACAUCCACUUAAAAUAAAUCACCACCUACUACCACUAACAAACUUAGUUGGAAUACAACUAAGUUACAUCAUUACAUCCAAAUAAUAAUAAUAAUAAUAAAACAUGUGAUUGCUACAUGCUAACCAUUGCUUCAAUACCCUCUCUCUCUCUCUCCUUCCUUUUACAGUAAUGAGUUAAGAUUUUCCACAUUCAUCCACACACAAGUUAGGUUUUUGAGUUUCUAAAAAGUAGUCAUUUACUGCUAUGGAAAAGAAGAAGAAGAAAAAGCAUAAGAAACUUAUUGCCACUUCUUUUAAUCAAGAACUUGAAUCAAAUAAUCUCUUGGUAUGUGACCUCUUCUUCUUAAAUGGGUUUGCCUUAUUUUGUUUUGUUCUUUCUAUUAGCUGAAAGUUUAUUGAUUGAUAAUCUGGGGUUUCAUUUUCCUGCCUUAAUUUUUUUGGGGGGUGUCCUCAAAUGUGUACUGGUUGAAGGAAAACCAGUGUUUUGUUAUGUGUUAUGCCAGGGUUCAUUGUUUUGGAUGAUAAGAGUACUUUUUCUUUAUUUAGCAUAAUGGAGUGAGAAGUUGUGCAUUGUCAACAAAUCCAGUUGUAACUGUUGCAUUUCAAUUUCCACAUCGCAUGCAACUGAUGGAUGGUUGUGAUGAGUGCAUCUUUGAUUAUUUUCCCAAAUUUUAACGAGCUGAAUUCGUCAUAAACAGAGCAAGGAACAACAAAAUCAACCCAAUGAGGCACUUGCUGCAAAAGUUACCAAAAAUGGCAGCUCUUCACAAGAAAAUCUUUCUUCCUUGAACGAUCAACGUUCACGUAUUCUUCAAUGGCCAUACUCCACCCAAAAGGCGGCAGAGCAGUCUUCCUUGAAUCCAAGACCUUGUAUAUCAAGUCAGACGCCUCCUAUUCUUGCAAGCCAACCACAGCAAGUAGCACCAUUGCAGUCCAAUUUCCCUCAUCAUCUUGUCCAGCAGGGCCAACCCACAGUGCAUUUAGCCCCAUCCACUUCACCCUUAUGGCUGCCACAGCGACCUAGUUACCAUUUCCCUGCAGUAUCUGUGCCUGCCACAUUUCAGCCGUUCACUGCUAGUUGGCAACCGUCUCCUCUAAUUGGAGGAACUUCCCCAAGGAGCCAACAUGAGGUCCCAAAUAUCGGUUACCAUUUUAGCCCGUUCCCAAGUUUUCCAGGUAGGAUUUGAACCAAGUACUUUGAAUGUUACUGGUUUUCCUGGUAAGGCAAGCCAAAGUUCUUUCUGAUUUAUGUUUAUCAUAUCUCAUCAUACUGUGUGAUUACUAUUAGUGCGAAUUGAUUUAUGACAUAUCAAUGGAUAUAUGAUGCUAAUAUGAUCAGUUAGUGAAUUGUGCAUUCUACCAAUUUAUGUAGCAUAAUUUCUAAUUUGGAAGUCAAGAAGUUGCUAAAUAGAGGACCUUGGAGCCAUGUAAUGUUGGAUUUUUCAUGGGAACAGGUCCUUGGGAUCCCUCUUCUUGGUGGACUCAUGGUCAGCAAGUUCAUCCAUCUUUCAACUAUACUUUCCCAGGAGCUUAUAAUGGCUCCUUUUCUUCAGAACCUCCGCCAAUGCCUAAUUGUUCAGCAACCUUUGGAGAGUCCUCUCAAAGAGGGAUUAUUCGCCCAAUGGCUAAACUUUCUCAGAAGCAUCAACAGCUUUGGGAAUCCCAAGUAGUAGUGUUUUGCUCACCUAAUCAGUUAUUUUAGUAUUUGCUUUUGCUCUUCUAACCAUUGUUAGUAACACUUUGGUUUAUCUGUUUCCAUAUGCAGUCAUUUGAGAAUGUUAUGCUAUGGAGAGUAAUUGGUCAGUUGCAAUCAGAAUUAGCUGAUUACAAGAGUCAAAUAUUAAAGCUUGAAGGUCAAAUUGCAUCUCUGAAACCGCCUGCGGAUGAGCCUUCUGCUCAAGCAGUUCAGACUGGCUUAUCCGGAGCAGCAUCAAAGAGGGGCAGACCUAAGAGGGCAGUUGCUUCAGUUGAUGUGUCUGCUUCUCCUGAUGAGUCUCAUCCUCAAGCAAGAGGUCAAAAGCCUGCAGCAAGUAAAGUUCAACCUGAGUCUAGAGUUCUUUUUUUUGAGAAAGUUGUUCUAAACAAGGUGGAAAAAACAGCUCACUCUAUUUCGAGUACCAAGAAAGAUAAUGAGAAGACCAUAACAAAUAAUAGUGUUAAUGGAAGCAAUUUGCCUAUGCCUGCAUUCCACAACCAAGCUCACCUGGAAGGUCCUGGCAUCCAAAUUUGUGGAAUCGAGACCAAUUCCUGUUUAGCUCAGCAACCUAAAGAAAACGGCAAGGGGAUUUCAGAUACGCACAUGGGAGGGACAAAUGGUGAAGUCCUUGCUUGGCCUGCAAGUUUUGUAUCUGAAGAGCCUCGGAGAAACAUAUAUAAUACGAUCUCUCAAAGUUUAUAUGACAAUGGCUGUUUGAUCAGAGAAGCAGGAAAACUCAUACCUGGAUGGAGUUUUGUGAAUGAAGAGGAUGCUUCAGAAGAGGUUGAAGAUGGUGUAAUGGCCUCAGCAAAGGAUGAAAAUGAAGAGGAAAUGAGAGAUGAUGUUAGCUCAGAAGCUGAAGAAAUUGCUCAAACAAAAGAUGAGAGUGCUUGCAAGAUGGAUUCUGCGGUAGGAAGUAACCCCAAGAAUUUGCCUCAAUAUAAUAACUGGUCUUAGGUUCCUGCUGUUUACAUGGAAAUUGGGUCAUCAAUUUCUUUGGUUUUGGCUUACAUGUAGAGAGAGAUUUGCCCUAAAUUUUGUAGGAGAGUGGGAUUUUAACCUGGGCAAAGUUAAUUAUAUUUUAUGACAUUGCUACUAACUUCAAUGAACUCUUGUUUCAUCGAAUGUUAUCAUCUUCUAUGUGUACAAUUCCUGAUUUACAAACCUCUCAAGCUAAUCCAAGCAUCAACAGGGCAUCAGUGAUCGUCCAAACUUCAUCACCAUCUUUAGGUGAUAAGCUCUCAUAAUUCAUAUAUUUUUGAACCCCGGCCCUAUUACUUUACUUCAUCACCAUCUUUAGCUACAGUGCCGUUCUUUCGAGCCGCAACGUCACUGUUUGUAUCAUGCGGGUCUGGUUACUGUUUUAAACCCAAGACGCAAGGUUAAAUUAAUCUUUUCUAGUAUUUAAGUCCAAGCAAGUUUGUAACCCUAAUUUUAAGUUAGAUAGUUUUUUUUUUUGGAUUGAAUAUAAUUCAAAUCUUGUGAGAUCGCUUCAAUGUAUAUUUCCAUUUACAGUUUCACAAUGAGAAUCGGAUUAUAUACAGUAGAAUGUAUAUAUAGAUGUGCGCACAAAUUCUGGGACAUUCGAAUUCUGUGAGAUUUCUUUCUCAUUAUUUUAUAAAUUUCAUAAUAAUUGGUUUUAUGUUUUGGUGUACUGUUGUAUGAUUUUUUGAAUUCAAAUUUUAAUUGCAUGAUUCAGGUAAAUAUUAUUUAUUGUUAUUUUUUAAAAUGAUUCAACUUUAUUUUGGAUUAUUUUAGAAAUUAUAUUAUUUUUUGACUUUUGACUACUAUGGAUAUAUUAAAUUUGAUUUUUUUAUACGUUUAUAUAUAUUUUUAAAUUAACUUAGUUGACACAAUAAAUUGUCAAAAUGUACUAUAUUGUUGAAAUUAUUUUAUUUGAAAAUAUAAAAAGUUGUGUAUAUGUAACUUAAGUCAUGUUAGUACUUGUCACCCAAAGGAAGACUGAUAUUUAAUAAAAUUACAUGUGCAAUUAUGGUAAUAAACAUGUGACGAUUAUUCGGUUUUACAUGUAAGUAAUAAAUUGACCUAAAUAAAGAUUUAUUGUUUAACAUAUUAUUAUUGUCAAUAUUUAAUUACUGCAACAAGAUAUCAAUUACAAGUUAAUAGUUUGUCCAAAGAUGAAAUAUUAAUGAAGUAUCGACAUCUUGAGAUGGGGUUUAUAUUUAUUUGAAUUUAUUAUUUUGGUUUAUAUUUGAACACUUACGUGAGCUUAUUUUAUUUGAUUCAUCUACUAUUAUACUUGUCAACAUCAUUGCAUGCAUUGAAACAUUUAGGGGCAUUGUUUUUUUCGAAGAUCAUUUUGAAUUUUUUAUAAUUUUUAAGAGGGGUCAAUUAGCUCAUUUUCAAAUUUUACAAGGACCCAAAAGAUAUUUAUACCAAUUUGUUAUUAAAAUUAUUAUAAUUGUUCGAGUUGUAAACUUCAACUUGACUCAAAUAUGACAAACCGAAAGGCUUAUUCAAUUUGAUUUGAAAAACUGAUUGAGUUGAGUUAAUCAAUUUGAUUAACUUGAAAUUCGAUUUAUAUUUUUUCAUUUUGAAAUGGUUUUUCUCACUUGAGACCUUGUUUAUUUGGGUUAUGCCCUGAUAAGUUUUUCUUAUUAUUAGUGAGCUCGGUUCAGUUUGGUUAGGUUUUUAAAAUUUUUUGAAAUGUUCAUAAUAAUUCGGUUCAAUUUGGUUCUUGAUUUUUCAUAUUAAUUUUGGAUUUCAGAUUUUUAGACUUUAUUUUUAUAAAAUGGACUUUGCUUUAUAGCAUUUGAACAUUAUUUGGUGAAGUUUCAAAAUUUUUUUCAUAAAUAUUUUUUCUUAAAAAAUUAAUUUUUCAAGUAAAUAAAAAAUAAUCAAUAAAUGUUACAUGGUAUUUUAAAAAAAUUUAAAUGUGAAAUAUUUAUUUACAUCAUAAAAAGCUUAAAAUUAAUUAUAAGUUAAAUAAAAAAUAGUAUUGAUUAGUAUAACUCUCAUAUUUAGAGUUGUUUUAGUAUAAUUUUUAUAGUAUUUUAGGAGAUAAUUUUAGCAUUUAAAUUAGUUUUUAGUGCAUUUUAUAGGUUUUUUUUGGAUUAAUUAUAUUUUAUUUAAUUUUUUUAUCAAUUUUAAAGUUAGUUCAGAUUUACGUAAUAUUUUCCUCUCUAGUUUCGAAUAAGAAUGAAAGGUUUGGAGUAUAGAGUAAAAAAAGUAGUGAAGAGAAGACUUCCACUCUAUCGAACUUCAGUUCGGUGGAGCACAAUCUUCAAUUCAGAAUUUUCAAAUAGAAAGCAAUCCGCUCCAUGUUAGUACAAAUCUCUAGUGAAAAUAGUUAGUACAAAUCUCCGGUGAGGAAAAUCUCAAGCACACGAACGGAACUCGAACAGGAAAAGAAGAAAUAGGACAAGGCUCCAAGGCGUGUAUGAAGCCACUAUCUUUAAGGUUAUAUUCGCCCCCACCUAUCUUUGGUGUGCAAAUGAGUUCCAAGCCAAUUAACCUCGAGGAUACAAUGAAGCCAAUGACUAUUUGCAUUUUGCACUCACGAUAAUAGUCCACUACGUACUGAGCAAUGUAUAACAAGAAACUCAACUUCUAUAAAAGGUUUCUGCAAUAAUACGUUAUAGAAUAAUCUAAUAAUAUUAGAAAAUGAAGGAAGGAAGAAAGAAUAUUAGAAUUUUUUGUUGUGAUUUCCAAAUGAAAUCUUAUUCCUAUUUAUAGGAAUUUUCAUGUCUCUUCAUAAAGACAUCUUUCAAUAGGUGUCUUUCUGAAUAAUAAUGUCUUUAAAAUAAACACAUAAUUAUUCAUUUAAUAUUAUAACUAUUCAAAUAAUAUUGUAACAGCCCGAUUUUGGGCCUAGUCGGAACAGUGGUUUCGGGACCACAAAUCUGACCAGGAAAAAUUUGUUUUUAUUAUAUUUUUAUGGCCUACAGUUUCACGGAAUGACUUCGUGAAAAUCUAGUUCGAAAAUUUCGAUGUUCGGGUACUCAAAUUAGUAAAAAGGACUAAAUCGUAAAAAGUACAAAACUUGAGUUCUAGAAGCUAGAAGUAUUAAAUAGCUAUAGAAUUUUUAGUAGAAAUCCUUAUGUGAUAAUUAGCCCAUUAAUAAGUUAGUGGAAGAUAUUUGUUUGGUAUUUUUGAAAUUUGUUUGAAAAGAAAAGGGCAAAUUGGUAAUUAAGUUAAUAAAGGCAUAAUAAGACAAAAAUUUAAAAGCUAUCAUCUUUUCUUUUUUCUUCUUCAACUGUUUAUGAAGAAAAUGGGCAGCCAUGGAUGAGUAAACAUUCAGCCAAGCUUCUAUGGCUCAUCUAGGUAUGGUUUUUGUCUCGUUUUUAAUUAUUUCUAUAUUUUUGGAGUCGUGGUAACUCAAUUUAGCUAUCUCGUACCUUCAUUUUCAAAACUGUUAAGGUUUGUAAAUUUUUCUAUUGAUGAAUAUAUGUGUAUUUUGAUGCUUGAUGAUGGAAAAUGCAUCCUUGUUGUUAAAUAAAUGACUGUUACUAAGUGAUUUUCGGUAAAAACGUCUGAAACGACUAUUUUGUAAAAGUUGUAAAAAUGGCAUAAAAUGUAUUUUGAUGAGAAUUGUAGUUUCCUAUAGUUAUGAAAAUGGUUCGCCUAGGCUUAAAGUACAAAGAAAUUGAGUGCAUUUUAUUUUACGACCCUAGGGGCAAAAUGUUAUUAUGACAAAGUUUAGGGGUAAAAAUAUAAUUUUUCCAAAAUAUGAUUUUUGGAUCACAUUAAAUAAUAUGAGUAAUAAUUAGACUAAAUGUGAUAUUUUAGAUCAAGAAAAAUAAGAUUCGGACUUAAAACGAGGAAAAUCAAAUAAUAUAACAGUUAUGUCCAAUUGCCGAUUUUGUGUCAAGGUAAGUUUGUGUGAUUAUAAUAAUGCAAUGUUAUAAUUAAAUAUUAAAUGCUUUAUUGUUAUUAUUAUAUAAAUUGUAUGAUUGAUUAUACGGAUAUUCUUGAUGAAGAUUCGACAAGUACAUAAGUAAAUAAUGUGAUGUUGUAGCAUAUUUUAAUGCUAUGAUAAUAUAUGCAUUUAAAUGUUUUAUUACUAUCAUGAAAGUAUGAAAUGUAUGAUAGAAGAAUAAAUGACAUUAUGAGCAAGUGCGACAACAUUGAGCUAGACAAGAAAUCCCAUUUGAACAUCAGAAAUAGUAUAAGAUACAAAAGGUAAGUCAUGAGAAAUUAAGUGGUCUAAGCUCAUGAGUUGAGUCUAAGUUAAUGAGAUAAGUGAUAUAUGUAAUGUGGGUUCGGGUACUGACUUUGUGUAUAAACCCGUGAGUAACUCGCUGAGCGAGCAUAUCAUAUUAAUGCUUUGAGGUCCGGGUACUGACUUUGUGCAUAAACCCUUGAGUAGCUCAAUGAGCGGGCAUUACAUGAUAAUGCUUUGGGGUCCGAGUGCUGACUUUGUGUACAGACCCGUGAGUAGCUCAAUUGUGGGCAUUACAAAAUAUGUGGUAGCUUUAGCUACAUACGUUACGCGCUAUGAGUUGGUUCUAACUGCGUAUAUGGCACUAUGUGCAAGUUUCCGUGUAUCCAUUAGUAUUCUGAGUGUUCAACGGGUAAUUCAAGGAAGGAUUUGAUGAUGGUCCCAAUGAGGUAUGUCAUUGAUGAGACCGAACUUGAGCUAUGUUACGAAUGAGUGCAAGUAUGUAUAGAAACUCAAUUGAAUACGAAAUCCAUGAAUGGUAAGUCCAUGAGUAUUGUGAAAUGAUGUUGUAUUAAUUUGGUGGACUAUGAUAUAUGUUUAUAAAUGCAUAGAUUUCUAAUUUAAAAGAAAUGAAGGUGUGAUGAACUUAGUUAUCAUCAUUUUUGUACUAAAACUGUUUUGGACAGCAGCUGUAAUCCAACUUUGAAAAUUCACCAAAAAUUGUGGAAAUUGAAUUUAAGGUUGAAUAAAAUAUGAAAUUAAAGCUUAUUGAGUCUAGUUUCACAUAGAAGAAAUGGUGUAAGAAAAAGAAUAUCAGAUUAUGAGAUAUUUUAAUUUUUGUGAGACAGAGUCAGAAUGUUUUCGGCAUCCCCUGUUCUGAUUUGGGAAAAUCAUAAAAAAUUGUAAAAAAUAAUUAUGGGUUAUAAUUUAUAUGAUUACCUUAAUGAGUCUAGUUUCAAAAGAAACAAAUGGGAACAUCAUUUGGAUCUUGUAUGAUGAGUUAAUUAAUUUUUAGGUAAAGAUGGGUCGAAACUGUCAAAUAGCAUAACAGGGGUAAAUUUGAAGAAUAAACUGUACUAAUUGGCUAAACCAAAAAUUCUGAAAAUUUUAUGGUAGGGAGAUAUGUGAGUCUAGUUUCAGGAAAAAUUUGUAGAACUUAAUUUGGAGUUUUGUAGCUUAAGAUAUAAAUAAUUUAGUGACUGCGACUUGAGUAGACAACUUAACUGGAAUUUGAGCAAAUAGUGGAAUAAUAUGCAAAUAUGAUUGUGAUACCUUGAGAACAUGUUAUAAGAAUUUGGCAAAAGCAUGUAAAUAAAUUUCUUAUUAUUUUCAUAUGAACUUACUUAGCUUUUAAGCUUACCCCCUUCCUUUCCAUCUCUUAUAGGUUUAUUUAGCUAGCUCAGGUUGGAAAUCACCGGAGAUGCUAUCACACUAUCAAGCUACCAUCUGGGGCAUAAGUAUUCAAGUACUCGAGUUUAUGGAAUGCAUAGGAAUUAUGUCUUUUGUUAUAUUAUUCAUUACUAUUAGGGCCAAGUGUGUUGGCCUAUAAUGAGUUGUGAUUCAAUUUGAACAUGCAUAUCCAUAAAUGAUGGCUUAUGAUAAUCAUAUGCUUAAUCAUAUGUAAAUGACAUGUUAUUGCAUGAAUGUGGUUAGUUUAAAUUGCAUUUAUAUGCUUGAUAAUGUACCAUUGGAUGUGAUAUGAAAUUGUGCAAGUAAGGGUGACAAAAUGGCUUGGAAAAUAGCCUUGCAAUCGUCCACACGGGUAGACCCACGGGCGUGUGUCUAGGCCGUGUGUGACGCACAAUCCGCUCCUACGGGUAUGUGUCUUGGUCGUGUGCCCCUGAAUGAAUGAUGAUGUCAUAAACAGAGAGUUACAUAGGCUGGGGACACUGGUGUAUCCCAAGCCACAUGGGCGUGUGUAACCACACAGCCUACUCCACUCGGGCGUAUGACUCUCUAAAAAUGGAAAAUUUCAUAAGUGUUGUAAAAUUUCUGAAAAUUCUCGGUUUAGUACCAAAUCAUCUUUGAUGUAUGUUUUGUGCCUCAUAGGCCCGUAUAAGGGACGAUAUACAUGUGUAUGAAUGAUUUUAAAUUGAAUGGAAUUUUAUGGCUCAAUUUUGUAUGAAUGUUUAUGUUUAAGUCUGGUAAUGCCUCGAACCCUAUCCCGGCAUCGGACGCGGAUAAGAGGUGUUACAAAUAUUAUUUAAAUAAUUAUAAUUUUUUUCAAAAAAUCAAAUAAUAUAACUUUUGAUUAAUUACACCCAUUCAUUUAUAGUUAUUGGAACACUAUAAAUAUUUGAAAUUGUUCCAACAAUCUCCCCCCAUUUUCAAAAUAUUUUAGAUUUUGAUAUUCCUGGAAAUCCAUUUGCAUAAAUGAAGGUAUCUUACGAUUGAACCUUCAAUUAGUGAAAUUAUGUUAAAUUUAAUCAAAAUUGCAUGGUAGACUAAUCUUUGAACCAACUAUUCCAUUUGACUAACCGAACACAUCUCACACAAUGAUUUCAACAUCGGUCAAUCCAUAGUAUCUAGGGACACUAUUAUGGCCAUGUGUCUGUGUCCUCUUUUCAUAAGUGCUAUCAGAGCGAAGCCCUAGAGCUCCUAGAAGCAGCCAUACUUCCACUCACAUAGGUAGAUCCUAUCAAGAGUGUUCCCGUAAUUAUAACACUCUAACAUGUUUAUAUUAUGGGUCCAUUAAGAGUACAUUACUUAUUCUUCCCUUAUCAUUAUGGGUACCUAGUAUUUUAAUCUUAGGAUGAAUUUAUUUAUAGUGCUAACAGUCACAUACUAAUAAUGUACUCAUUGAACUCAAGACUUGACGUUAUACCAAGUGUUGAGUCAAUUUUUCGUCAUGGGUGACUUUAAUUAAUAGGCUUGAGUCCCAUCCCUUUUGAGGUCCUUUUUACAGCAUCUCUAGUAAGACUGUUUGUCAAAGGAUUCGCCAACCUCACAUAAUUAAUACUGAUCACUCCAUCAGAGAUUAAUUAUCGGACAUAGCUAUGUCUUAAUCUAAUGUGUCUAGACUUUCCAUUAUAUACUUGGCUAUAUGCCUUUGCUAGGGUAGCCUCAUUAUCACAACGGAUAGAAAUAGGUGAAAUUGGCUUGGACCAUAAAGGUACAUCGUAAAGCAAAUUUCUUAACCAUUCUGCUUCUUUAGAUGCAGUGGCUAAUGCAAUAAAUUCUGCCGCCAUGGUGGAAUCAAUAAUACAUGUUUGUUUCUUGAAACCCUAAAAAAUGGCUCUUCCACCAAGAAUGAAAAUCCAUCCACUAGUAGAUGCAUGAUCUUCCAAACUAGUAAUCCAACUAGCAUCUGAAUACCCUUCUAAAACUAAAGGAUAUCCAUUAUAACACAAUCCAUAGUUAAUAGUUUUCUUUAAGUACCUAAAUACUCUAUUCAAAGCUUGUCAAUGCAAACUACUUGGAUUACUUGUGUACCUACUCAAUUUCCCAAUAGCAUAUGCAAUAUUUGGUCUUGUACAAGUCAUUAUGUAUAUAAGACAACCAAUUAGACUUGCAUAUUUCAAUUGAUCAAUUUUCCUACCAACAUUAGAUACUAAUUUUAUUUGAGGAUCCAUGGGUGUAGAUGCUGGUAUACAGUUGAAAAGAUCAAACUUUUUAAGCACUUUUUCAAUAUAAUGUGAUUGUGAUAAAGCUAUAGUGCUUUCAUCUCGGGUUAUUUUAAUCCGAAGAAUAGCAUCUGCUACACCCAUAUCCUUCAUAGUAAAAUUGUUUGAUAAUAAUUUCUUUGUGUUUUCUAUUUGUUCCAAAUCUGUGUAAAAAAUGAGCAUGUCAUCUACAUAUAAGCAAAUUAUGACACCUUUUCCAUUUUCAAAUUUGCUAUAUAUGCACUUAUCGGAUUCAUUUAUUUUAUAGCCAUUAGCUAAAACAACCUUGUCAAACUUUUGGUGCCAUUUUUUUGGUGCUUGUUUAAGUCAAUAUAAAGAUUUAACAAGCUUACAUACUUUAUGUUGCUCCUGUCCUGGAAAACAAAUCCUUUCGGUUGUUCCAUGUACACUUCCUCUUCCAAUUCACCAUUUAAAAAUGCAGUUUUUACAUCCAUUUGGUGAACAACCAAAUUAUAUAUAAAGGUAAGUGAUAUUAAGAGUCUAAUUGUAGCAAUUCUUACUACUGGAGCAUAGGUAUCAAAGUAAUCAAUACCUUAUUUUUGUGUAAAACCUUUGGCUACCAACCUUGUUUUAAAUUUAUCAAUGGUUCCAUUGACCUUCAUUUUCUUUUUGAAGAUCCAUUUACAACCUAUUGGUUUGGAACUCGAUGGAAGAUCAACUAAGAUUCAAGUUUGAUUUCCUAUUAUUGAAUCCAUCUCAUCAUUUAUUGCUUCUUUCCAAAAAGCAGAGUCUUGAGAUUUCAUUACCUCUUCAAAUGUAAUAGGAUCAAAUUUCGUAUUAUAACAAUAAGGCAUCUUAUUGCAUAUACUUUCACCUUUUCCUUCUAUAAGAAACAUAAUGAAAUCUGGUCCAAAAUCUUUGACCUUUUUAAUCCUCUUACUUCUUCUUAAUUCUUGACAAGAUUCAUCAUAAUUAUCAAUUUGUUCUAAUGGAAUCUCAUUCUAAUUUGAAGAAUGAAUCAAUUGUUGUGGUUGUAAUUGUCUUGAAAUAGAAUUAAAUCUAUUUUCAUAAAAAAUAGCAUCUCUUGAUUCAAUAACAAUAUUAAUUGAAAUUGAAUUAAUUGGUUCAAUUACCAUGAACCUUUAUGCCUUGCUAUUAUGUGCAUAUCCUAUAAAUAUGCAUUCAAUUCCUCUUUCACCUAACUUUUUAUGUUUUGGUGUUGGAAAUUUGAUAAUAUCUCUACAACCCUAAACCUUUAAAUAAUUAAGGUUUGAUUUCCUUUUCUUCCAUUUUUCAUAGGGGUUUUUUUUAGUUUCCUUAUUAGGAACUCUAUUCGAUAUAUGACAAGUUGUUAGAGCAUCUUCUCCCCAAAAACCUUGUCCAAGACCUGAAUAUGAUAACAUUGAAUUUACCAUUUCAGUCAAGACUCUAUUUUUCCUUCUAGCUACACCAUUUUUUUGUAGUGUGUGAGGGGUUGAAACUUGAUGGACAAUUCUAGUGGAUUCAAAAUAACUUGGAUUAUAGUAUUCUCCACCUCUAUCCGAUCUUAAGCACUUGAUAAAUGAUUCACAUUGAAGUUCAACUUCAGAUUUAUAAACUUUAAAUUUAUCAAGCGCUUCAUCUUUUGAAUGCAAUAAAUAUACAUAACAAUAUUUAGAACAAUCAUCAAUAAAAGUAACAAAAUAUUUCUUUCCACCUAAUGUAGGAGUAUUAUGCAUGUCACAUAAAUCACUAUGUAUCAAAUCAAGCAAUUUGGUUUUCCUUUUAACCUUAGGGAAAAGGUUUCUUGUAAUUUUAGUCAACAAACAUGUAUUGCAUUUUUCAAUAUUAUUAUUAAAAUAGGAAUUAAAUCUAACUUAUACAUGUCAUUCAAUUUUCUAUAAUUCAAAUGACCUAAUCUAUAAUGCCAUAAACAAAAGGAUUCAACCAUAUAAGCAGAAAUAGUAUUUUUAUUCUUAUUAAUAAUAUUGAGUUUGAACAUACUCUCGUACAUAUACGUUUUCCCUACAAAAAUUCCUCCUUUAGAUGAAAUAAACUUAUCUACCUCAAAAACAAGUUUGAAACCAAACUUAUUCAACAGACUUCCAGACAAAUUUCUUCCUAACUUCUGGUACAUAAUAUACAUCAUUUAAGGUUAAAAUCUUUCCAGAAGUAAAUUGCAGUUUAAUAGACCCAUUGCCUUUGAUUGCUGCUGUGGAAGAAUUUCACAUGUACAAGACAUUGUCAUUUUCACAUUGUGUGAACUUUGUGAACAUGCUUUUGUUUUUGCUUACAUGUUUGGUUGCUCCGAUAUUAAUCCACCAUGUAUUAUCAUCUUGUGCCAUAUUAAUUUCAGAUAUCAUUACAACAAACUUUUCGUUAUUAUUAGCCUUAGAAGAUGAUUUCUUCUUUAAAAAUUGACAUUCAUUCCUGAAAUGUCUCGGCUUACCACAAUAAUAGCAUGAGCAUUUUUGUUUCUUUUUUAACUUAGGUGUUGUAUCAGUCUGUUUGAACUUUCUCUUGAAUAGUUUAGUAGUCUGUACUUCCUCCGUAACAUGCACUUUGACAUUUUUAGAAUUUAGGUUCUAAUCUUGCUUUUGAUAUUCUUUUUCAACACGAAGAUGAUUUGCCAAAGCCUCAAGAGAUAUUUCCUCUUUUUUUUGUUUUAGACUUCUUUUAAAGUCUUUCCAAGAUGGAGGAAGUUUGUCUAUUAUGGAGGAUACAACAAUCAUUUCAUCCAUUUUCAUAUCAUAUUGCUUGAAUUGAUUCAACAUCUUUUCAAUAUCAUGAAAUUGUUCCAUAACAGAACGACCAUCAACCAUUUCAUAAUUAUUGAAACGACUGACAAAAAAUUUAUUACUUGUAACAUCUUCAGUCAUGUAUCUUGUCUCCAAUUUAUCCCAUAAUUCUUUAGCGGUGACCUCAUUUCGGUAGUUGUCGAACAAAACAUCAGAGAAACCAUUCAAUAUGUGACCUGUGCACAUGUAAUCAACAUUGUCCCAUUUUUGCCUUUCACGAGUUGCAGCAAUAGAUUCGUUUUCAUUCUCUUCAGGUCUUGGAGUAUCCAAAACAUAAGCAAUCUUCAAAGUUGAUAAUAAGAAGUGCAUCUUUUUUUGCCAUCGUCAAAAACUGCUACCAUUAAACCGAUCAAGUUUAACAAAGUUGGAAGCCAACUCCCUUAGUGUUCCACUUUCAUGUGUUGUGGUAGUCAUCAUGAAUUAUAACCUUAAAAUUGUUAGUACAAAUCUUCGGUGAAAACUGUUAGUACAAAUCUCUGGUGAGGAAAAUCUCGAACAUACGAAUGAAACUCGAACAGAAAAAGAAGAAAUAGAACAAGGCUCCAAGGUGUGUAUUAAGCCACUAUCUUUAAGGUUAUAAUCGCCCCUAUCUAUCUUCAGUGUACAAAUGAGUUCCAAGCAAAUUAACCGCGAGGAUACAAUGAAGCCAAUGACUAUUUGCAUUUUGCACUAACGAUAAUAGUCCACUACGUAUUGAGCAUUGUAUAAUAAGAAACUCAAUUUCUACAAAGGAUUUCUGUAGUAAUACUUUAUAGAAUAAUAUUAGAAAAUGAUGGAAGGAAAGAAAGAAUAUUAGAAUUUUUUGGUGUGAUUUCCAAAUGAAAUCACAUUCCUAUUUAUAGGAAUUUUCAUGUCUCUUCAUAGAGACAUCUUUCAAUAGGUGUCUUUCUAAAUAAUAAUGUCUUUAAAAUAAACACAUAAUUAUUCAUUUAAUAUUAUAACUAUUCAAAUAAUAUUAUUUAAAUAGUUAUAAUUUUUUUUUCAAAAAAUCAAAUAAUAUAACUUUUGAUUAAUUACACCCAUUAAUUUAUAGUUAUUGAAACACUAUACAUAUUUGAAAACGUUCCAACACUCCACCCUAAUUUUGUCUUUGGUGGAGCAGAACGAUUAAAACCCUAAAAAUAAGGGGUGACUCAAGAGAAAAAAAGGGGAAGAGAGAAAAAGAAUCAACUUGGAGGUUAAGAAACAAUUCUCUCACACCAAGGGGAACUUCGAGCUUGUAAAGAGAAGAAGAAAAAGAGAUCUGGAGCGCUCAACAUCUAUUCGAUAAUUAUUUUUGUCUAGAUUGUUUCCUUCUAGUUUUUUAUCAAUAUAAGUCUUUUUUGAAUCUCUUAUUGUGUUGUUUUCUCAAAUCAACAUGAAAUAAACUUUGUUUUCUUGGAAUGAUAAUGAAUCAUGUUUCUUACUUAAUUAUUAUGUUCUCUCUAAUUGUUUCAAUUGGUGUUAAUUAUAUAUUCAGUCCUAUGCUUAUUUAAUUUGCUUGCCUGAUCAUCGAGUUGCAUUAAUUUAAUAAUCUUGAUUUGUCUUGGAAGAGAAAAUUAAGGUUUAGGUUUAGAUUGAAUAAAUCAGGAUUAACUUUAGUAGUAUCGAUAAAUGAAUUAAUUUGUGUAAUAGCCCAAAAUUGGGUCUAGUUGGAACAGAGGUUUCGGGACUGCAAAAUCUGAGAUAGAAAUAAUUAUUUUAUGAUUUUUUUUAGGUCUAUGAUAUGAUUGCAUGAUUGUGUAAAAAUUUCGUGAAGAAAUUCUAUGCAUAAAGUGCUCAAUUUGAAGUUAGGGACUAAAUUGAAUAAGUUGCAAAACUUGCAUUCUAGAAGUUUCUAGUAUGAAAUUGCUUUGAAACAUUAAUUAGGAGGUCUUAAAUAGAAAUUUUACCAAUUUUUAAGUGAUGGACAAAAAUUGGACAUGGAUGGAAUUUUUGAAAGUUUAGUAAGGAAGGGCAUUUUGGUCAUUUGGUAAUUAAAAGAAAUAAAAAGGGAAAAUAAAGCCAAAAUUGACUCAUCUUUUUCAUGGAGGCCGAAAUUAGCAUGGGGGAAGCCAUGGCUAGGGUUUUCAAGCUUUACAAGCUCAAUAGUAAGUCCGUUCUAACCCCGUUUUUCAAGUUCUUUACGUUUUUGGAAUCCCGGUAAUUUGAUUAAGCUUAUUCUAGCAAUAAUUUAAGCUAGGGUUCAUAUUUGGAAAAAUACCCAUAGGUGAAAUGUGUUUAUUUUGCUGUUUUAUGAUAGAAUAUGAGGUUUUAAUUUAUGUUAGACAACUUGUGCUACUCGGUUUUGAGUGAAAACGAGUAAAAGGGCUUAAUCGGUAAAAAUAUCUAAUAGUCAUAAGUAUAUGUUAGAGUGAGAAUUUGAUGUUGCCAUAGAAGGGAAAAGUGAUCAGCAUGUCAUAAAACAUAAGAAUAAGGGAUGAAGUUUAAUUCUCGAGCCUAGGGGAAAAAGUGUAAAUAUGCAAAAGUUUAGGGGCAAAAUUAUAAUUUUGCAAAAGUUUGAGUUAAGGACUGUUUUGAAUAGUUCAUUAAUUAAGUAUAUAAAAUAUGAUGUCUUAGAUCCCGGAAAACGAGAUUUGAACCUAGAAUGAAAGAAAAAUCAAAAAUUGGGAAAGUUGGUAAAAUGGUCGUUUUAGCAUCGAGGUAAGUUCAUAUGUAUAAUAAGCAUUAAUUUAUGCAUGUUUCAAUGUAAAAUUGAUAUAUUUAUUAUGAUUUCCGAGGUGUUGAAAGUAUGUAAGUUGGUAUGAUAAUAAUACAGUAAUAAUGUUGUAAUUUGUAUUUGAAAGUUAAAUUUAGUGAAUUAAUUGAAUUAUGUUAAAUUAAAUUAUUAUGGUGCCAAGUUUAUGAAUUGAUUUAAAAAUAUGUCUAUGGUACAUGAAUUGCAUUGAAUUAUCAUACAUAAAUGUGAUUUCUAUGAUUAUGGAUAUUAUGGGAAAUUGUAAGUUCAUAUGAUUUUUAAUAAGGCAAUGUGUAAUUUAAUGUUAUUUCCUUGAUAUUAAAUGAGAUGUAAGUUUAUAUGUAAGUAAUACAUCAAUAUUACUUGUAUUAUGAUAUUUUAUAAUAAUAUUGGAAAUAUGUUUGUGGAUAAUUACUUGAUUGGUGAAAUUGUUGGAAAAGAGAGAGAAAUCCCGGUUGAACCUUCAGAAAGAUUGGAUGAUACAGAUAGUAUGUAGCUAGGUCACAUGUAUGGUGCUGAGUGCACAUCAUGUGUACAAGAGAGCUACAAGACAUUAUGAUGUAGCUAGGUCGCAUGGGUGAUACUAUGUGUACACCAUGUAGACAAGAGAGCUACGGGAUAUAUGUAGCUAGGUCGCAUGCGUGGUUCUAGGUGAAGGACACCAUGUAGACAAGAGAGCUACGAGAUAAAUUGGCUAGGUCACAUGGGUGGUACUAAGUGUUCACCAUGUGUACAAGAGAGCCAAACUAUAUGAUGGGUGGAGCUAUGUGCUGAAACCACCAAGUAUCGAGGAUUGAUCCGAAGUGUUCAACGGGAGACUCUCUAUGUAUUGCUUUGUGAGUUUUGUGUUGAAUAAGUGCAGGAACUUGGUUAUGUGAAUGAUGUGUUCAUUAAGUGACUAGGAGGUGGUAAUGUUAUAAAAAAGUAAGUUAUACAUGAAGAUGAUUUUAUGGUGACCUUGUGAUCAUGGGCCUAUACUUGUGAUGUAUGAAAUGUUGUGAAAAUGAUUUGUGAUAUGUAUGUUAAAAUGAGGUAAAUACAAAGAAAGUGUGAAAGAGUGAAUUAGCAAUAAAACUGUUUUGGACGGUACCAGUGAUGUGAUUUUGAAAAAUCACCAAAAAUAGUAGAAAUUGAAUCAGAGAGUUAAUGAGAUAUAAAAUUAAAUAUUAAUGAGUCUAUUUUCAGAUAAAAGAAACAGAGCAAGAAAAGAAGUUCUAUAUUUUGAGAUAUUUAUGUUUUUGUGAGACUGGUUCAGAAUGAUUAGGUGAUCCCCUGUUCUGGAUUUGGAAAAUCAAAACAAUUUGGAUAAAAAUAAUUAGAGGAUUAAAAUUAUAUUUUUAAAAUCCAUAAUGAGUCUAUUUUCAAGAUAAAUCAACAAGAACAUUAUCCGAGUUCUGUACUGUGAGAUAAUUAUUUUUUAGUGAAGAGAGGUCAGAAUUGUCAAAAAGUGAAAUAGGAGAAAUUUUAAUGAAUAAACUGUACUAAUUGGCUAAACCAAAAAUUAUGAAGAUUUUAUGGUGGAAAGAUAUGUGAGUCUAGUUUCAGGAGAAAUUUACAGAUCUUAAUUUGGAGCUCUGUAGCUCGAAUUAUAAAUAAGUAAGUGACUAUGACUCAUGUGGACAGUUUGAUGUGAGAAUUUAUUAGUAAAUUAUGAAAUCGUACUUACAAGGAUGCUAUAUACAUUAAGGAUGUGGAAUGGAGAGAAGGAGGAGGAAAAUAAAUAUAUGUGGAAUACAUGGAAACUAUGGUAUAUGAAAUAUUGAUAUAAUGAAAUAAAUGAUAUGUGUUUAUAAGAAAAUAGAAAGAGAAUGAUAUGUAUCAUGACAUGUAUAUUUAUAUAUGACUAGUCUCAAUGUAAUGCUUGUUGGGUAUGGAGUUGAAUUGAAAUGUUUCAGGCAAACAUGUUAUUUUGUGCAUCUGAAUUGUGGUAUUUUAUAAAGAUAUGAUCUAGUUUUAAAUAUGAAUGCUUGAUGAUUAAGCUGAAGAUAUUUGGUAAGAUGAUAAUCUUGGUAUAAAUGUAUAGUGGUACUAUAAUAAACAAGGUAAAAUGAGUAUGAGAGACACAUGUAUGAUGACAUACAAAUUCUAUGUUUGUGAUUUAAUUGAGAAUAUUUAAUCAUUAAAUGAAUACCAUAUUAUAUGCUUUUGAUUUUGUAUAAGUGUGUAAGAGAUUAAGGUUGACCAAAGCUUGGAAAAUAGCCUAGGUAUAUUCCACACAGGCAGAAACACGACCAUGUGUCUCAGCCGUGUAUGGAACACGACUUUGGGACACGGGCGUGUGGAGCCUUAAAGCAUGAAAUUUUCAAGAUUUUCGUAAGUUCUCGGUUUAGUCCCGAACCCUUUCUAAAGUAUGUUUUGGGCUUCGUAGACUCAAAUAAGAGACUAUGUGUAAGUGAAUGAACAUUUUGAAAUAUGAAUGAAAUUUUAUGGCCCGUAUUUUAGUUUAAUGUUUGUAUAUUUGUCCGGUAAAGCUUCGUACCUUAUCCCGGUCUUGGGUACGAGUAAGGGGUGUUACAAUUUGUGGUUAGGAUAUGAGUAUACUUGAUGCUCUAAUCAAUCCUAUAGGUCUGAUUGUAGUGACUUCACCCAACUUACGUAGCAUAAGAAUAUAGCUAGGGAUGGGGGAUUAACUUAGUUAGAUACUAGAAAGGUUUGGUUAAUGCCAUUGAAUCCUAGGUUAGUAAUUACAUAGAUUGAACAAUUGAGAGAGAGAUAAUUAAUUGACUAGAAUAUAUGAAGUUAAAGUUCCAAGAUCAUUAAAAUUGAUUGAGAAACUUAUAGAUUUUCAUUCUUUUAGUUUAACAGAAUUUUCAUAAUUUUUUAGUUUAAUUUUAGUAAUAAUUAAAAUUAAUUUUUUUGUUCAGAUUAGAUAAAAUUAAAUAAUUGGUGAUUAACAAUUUAGAAUUUUCUUCUCGUCGGAACAAUUUUUUUUAUCAUUUUAUUACUUCAUUUGGCAUGUAUACUUACAUAAUGAAAUUUCGCACAUCAAUUAAGUUUAAAUAACUGUAAAUUUUAACUUAUAUUUCAAAAUUAUUCAAAUAUUAUGAUUGGGAAUAAAUUUUUUAAUUUUUUUUCUUAGCCCUAUUUUUUACAUUUAUAUCAAUAUUAUUUACAAAUAAAUAUAAAAUAUUUUUUAUUAUCUAAUUCGAAUGACAAAUUGUCCAUGAUCCAACCCAUAUAUCAAGUUAAAACACAAAAAGGAUUGUGAGCUGUGAAAUUGAAAGUUGUUCCUAGCAACCCCAUAACCUCCCCACCCAAAAUUAUAUAUAGAAAAAUGAUUAUGUUAGGAUAAGAAAAAAAAAAUUGAGUUUGGGCCUAAGAUAUGCAAAUUAAUUGCUGAGAUUCAAACCUAUUAUUAAUUUUUUUUAAAAAUAAUUAUAUAAAAUAAAAGAAUUAAACUCCAACCUAAAUAGUUUUUUUAAAGAAAAACUUAAGACAUAUAACCUAAAUUUAACGAUGGCAUUUCUAAAUCAUUUACUUUCAUGAAUAGGGUGAAAUUUAUUGAAUUGAAUUAACUUAAAUUGUUAAUUUUUGUAAUUUAAAAGAUUAGUUUGCUGCGAUGUAUGUUUGAAUAGGAUCCAAUCAUUUUUGGGUUGAGACUUGAGACUAAUGUUGAGUUAUGUUAUUCUGAAUCACAUUAUUUCAAAUUCAAUAGCUUAAAUUAUGAUUGUUUUAGUGAAGACUGUAGAAACAGAAAUAUGUAGAGGUGAUUAUUACGGGAAUUACAGAUUUCAAAUUUUAAAUUAACUAUUAAAUCAUAUUGGACUAAAUUUAAGACUUAAUUCAUUAAUUAUUAAGAAUGUGAAGCAAGUUGUUUUUAAAAUAAAAAUUUAGGAGAUUUAAGUUUACUAAGAACCUUUUUAUUUCAUUAGAAGUUUGGCUAAUAGAGAAAAAUGGUCGGAUUCAAUAAAAUAUCAUUUAGAGUUUGUUUGUUUUUUAAAAAGUUGUUUCAACUCAAGAUUGUUGUUGGUGGGAGGGUUUAUGAAGAGAGUUGAUUAAAAUGGUUUGUUGAAUUAAUUGAAGUUUUUACUUCUAAAGGCUCAAUACUUUGUCUUGUUCAAUUGAGAAUUAUACAAUGAUUCUUUCAAAGCAAAUCAGCAGGUUACUUACCUUGGUCAAUUCAAACCUUGAGUAUUUCUAGCUGAAAUACAACAACGUUUCAAGUUGUCCUAACUCAAGUAGAAGCUUAAAACUUUGUUACAGUCCAACUUCACCAUCAAUAUCAUUGUUAGAUAAGUUUAGAGUUUAGGUUAUUAAUUAAUAAUUUGACUUACAUUUGAAAGAAAAGAAAACCUAUUAGGUUAUUAAUAAUUUAUUUACGUUUAUUUUUAUAAUAAACCCAAAAUUGGGUCCAUUUUUAGUAAUAAGAUAAAAUCAUACCUAGGAUUCCAAGAGUAAACAAAGAAAUUGAACGAGGCAAACCUUUAGAUUCUAUAUACCAUAUUAUUUGUUUUAUAUAAACCACCCCAUUUCUUCCUAAACUACUCCUCCCAUCUACAAAAGCCAAACAAUAAAACCCAUGCCAUAUGCCACAUGCCAACUUUCUACACUUCCCGAAUCUCAUGUCCAGUCCAUGCCUCUUUCAUGGAACAAUAUAUCCACGCUAAGGGAAACUAACUCAAUUUUAGAUUCUUCUUUUAAUACUUAAAGCUGAUUGUUACCAUUAUAUCAUUUUCAGAGAAAUAAAUCUAUAUCAUUUAUAUUUAUUUAAUCCGAUGUAUCAUAUAGUAAGCAACGCAUAUUGUUUGAUAGUUACUUCAUUUUUUAUUUAAUAUAAAGUUUUUUAAAAAAUGUUAGAAUAAAAUAAAUAGGUAGGUAGCUACUUAUCACUACUGGAACAUUUUUAAAAUAUUAUAAAUGUUCUAAUAGUUAUAAUUGAAAGGUUACAAGUUAUCCAAAAGUUAUGUCACUUGGUUAUUAACCAAAAGUUGCUACUAUUCAUAGUGGUGAGUUAUGUUUCUCAUUACCAAAAGUUAUGUCACUUAAUCAUUAAUAAAGAAUCAUAAUUAGUCAAGUAGAUAUCUAUUGAAUAAUUAUAUUUGUUGUUAAAAGACGUGACUAUACAUUUGGAUAGUUAUAUCUCUAUGAAGAGACAUAGAACUAUAAUUAGGAGUCAAAUUUCAUUUUGUUUGGUAUACCAAAAACACAUCAAAAGUUUCUUUCUGUUCUCCUCCAUCUUCUAAUAUUUCUAGAUUGUUCUAUAAAGAAUUACUUCAAAAGUUAUUUAUAGAAAAGAUACUCUUGCUAUGCUCCUGUCACACUUGAUUUUCCUUAAGUUUGGAAUUUAGGAAUAAUUGAGAGAUAAAUUGGAAGAAACUAUAAGUUGGAAGCUUCUACUGUAAAAUCAAGAAAGCUUAGUGGUUGAUGUAGACAUAGUUAAGUUCCAAUUCUCGUUCAAUUCGAUGAGAACCAACUGGUUCGUUAGUGAGAGACAAAAUGAUUACUAAUGGAUGAUUUUAUAGGGUUGAUAACCGAUGCGUAAAGGGCUAUAAAUAACUGAGAAAUGAAUUCCUAGGGUGAGUUCUUCUUAAUUCUGUUUUAUUUUAUUUCUUCUUCAUCUUCUUCUUUGGUUUCUCUGAAAAGAGAUAAUUAAGGGGAUCUUUGCAUGGAGUAGUGAUCAAGAGAUUUGAGUUGUAAAAGUAGAGAAUCCGAUGAACUGGUAAGUUCUAAGUCCUUCGAUGUUAGUAGGAUUAAGAAAUAAAGUUAUGAAUUUUUAGAACCUCUAAAAGGUUCUGCAUGUUUCUGGAAACUGAGUUUUUAAGCUGAAAUUGGUAAAUUUAUUCUAUGAAUUUGGUUGUCAAGCUUAGUUGAUAGGAGAAUGGAAGCUUUAGCAUUCGGAAAAGCUAAGCUGAAGAAGUAAAGAAGCAUUGGGUGAGUUUCUGUACUCUAUUCUUAGGAUGUUGUGUGGUUGGCAUGAUUCUAUGUUGAGUUCUGUGAUGAUGUAUGAUCUCCAGUGAUUGUAAAUGCUAAGCAUGCAUAAGAUUGUUUUGGUAUAUGGGUAUCUGCCAAUGUAGUUCAAAUUGCAUGAAAUAGUUAUGAUUCCACGUUUAAAUGAAAUGCAUGUAAAUGAAAUGCAUCUAUUGCAUGAUUAUAACGGUAGGAUAUGAAAAUUAGACAAAGUUAGGAUUUUUGAAAUGGUGUUUUUGUAUACCGUCAUCUAAAAUUGUUGGGUGCAAACUAUGAUGAGUGAAGCUUCGGGCCUUGCAGAUGGGACACUACGGUGUUCGAGCAUUAAAGUUAAAAGUAGCUAAAUCAAGGAAUGGAUUAGGGAAUGGAAUUUCUGUUAGAUUCCAUAAUUUGGUGUUGCUGGGUGGAAAUUGUGAUGAGUGAAGCUUCGAGCCUUGCGGAGGGGACACUGCGAUGUUCGAGCAUCUAGGUUAGAUGUGAAAUGAAAUGCUAUCGACUAGCUCACUAGAGUGACAUUGUCACAACUAUUAUUAGGUUCCAUAGAGAAAUAAUGUGACAGUGGUCAACAAUCUCUAUGGGACAACACUGUGACGAUAAUAAGGUCCUUCGAGGCGACACCUCAAAGAGGUUUAAGGUGUAAGACCAUAUGUAACACCCCUUACCCGUAUCCGAGGCCGGGCUAAGGUAUGAGGUGUUACCAGACAAACAUACAAACAUUAAACUAAAAUACGAGCCAUAAAAUUUUAUUCAUAUUUCAAAGCGUUCAUUCUCUUACACAUAGUCCCUUAUUUGAGUCUACGGAGCCCAAAACAUACUUUAGAAAGGGUUUGGGACUAAACUGAGAACUUACGAAAAUCUUGGAAAUUUCAUGCUUUAAUGCUCCACAUGCCCGUGUCCCAAAGUCGUGUUCCAUACACGGCUGGGACACAUGGUCGUGUCUCUGCCUGUGUGGAAUACACCUAGGCUAUUUUCCAAGCUUUGGUCAACCUUGAUCUCUUACACACUUAUACAAAAUCAAAAGCAUAUAACAUGGUAUUCAUUUAAUGAUUAAACAUCCUCAAUUAAACCACAAACAUAGCAUUUGUAUGUCAUCAUACAUGUGUCUCUCAUACUCAUUUUACCUUGUUUAUUAUAGUACCACUUAUAUAUUUAUACCAAGAUUAUCAUCUUACCAAAUAUCUUCAGCUUAAUCAUUAAGCAUUCAUAUUUAAAGCUAGAUCAUAUCUUUAUAAAAUACCACGAUUCAGAUGCGCAGAAUAACAUGUUUGCCUGAAACAUUUCAAUUCAAUUCCAUACCCAACAAGCAUUACAUUGAGACUAGUCAUAUAUAUAUAUACAUGUCAUGAUACAUAACAUUCUCUUUUUGUUUUCUUAUAAACACAUAUCAUUUAUUUCAUUAUAUCAAUAUUUCAUAUACCAUAGUUUCCAUGUAUUCCACAUAUAUUUAUUUUCCUCCUCUUCCUCUCCAUUCCACAUCCUUAAUGUAUAUAGCAUUCUUGUAAGUACGAUUUCACAAUUUACUAAUAAAUGUUCACAUCAAACUGUCCACAUGAGUCAUAGUCACUUAAUUAUUUAUAAUUCGAGCUACAGAGCUCCAAAUUAAGAUCAGUAAAUUUCUCCUGAAACUAGACUCACAUAUAUUUCCACCAUAAAAUUUUCAUAAUUUUUGGUUUAGCCAAUUAGUACAGUUUAUUCAUUAAAAUUUCCCCUGUUUCACUUUCUGACAGUUCUGCCUCUCUUCACUAAAAAAUAAUUAUCGCAUAGUACAGAACUCGGAUAAUGUUCUUGUUGAUUUAUAUUGAAAAUAGACUCAUUAUGGAUUUUAAAAAUAUAAUUUUGAGCCUCUAAUUAUUUUUCUCCAAAUUUUUGUAAUUUUCCAAAGUCAGAACAGGGGAUCACAUAAUCAUUCUGAAUCAGUCUUAUAAAAACGUAAAUAUCUAAAAAUAUAGAAAUCCUUUGCUUUCUAUGUUUCUUUUAUAUGACAAUAGACUCAUUAAGCUUUAAUUUUAUAUCUCAUUCAGUCUCUAAUUCAAUUUAUACUAUUUUUGGUGAUUUUUCAAAAUCACAUCACUGCUACUGUCCAAAAUAGUUUUAUUGCUAAUUCACUCUUUCACACUUUCUUUGUAUUAACCUCAUUUUAACAUACAUAUCACAAAUCAUUUUCACCACAUUUCAUACAUCACAAGUAUAGGCCCAUGAUCACAAGGUCACCAUAAAAUCAUCCUCAUGUAUAACUUACUUGUUUAUAACCUUACCACAUCUUGGUCACUUAAUGAACACAUCAUUCACAUAACCAAGUUCCUGCACUUAUUCAUCACAAAACUCACAAAGCAAUACAUAGAGAGUCUCCCGUUGAACACUUCAGAUCAACCCUCGAUACUUGGUGGUUUCAGCACAUAGCUCCACCCAUCAUAUAGUUCGGCUCUCUUGUACACAUGGUGAACACUUAGUACCACCCAUGUGACCUAGCCAGUUUAUCUCGUAGCUCUCUUGUCUACAUGGUGUCCUUCACUUGGAACCACGCAUGCGACCUAGCUACAUAUAUCCCGUAGCUCUCUUGUCUACAUGGUGUACACAUAGUAUCACCCAUGCGACCUAGCUACAUCAUAAUGUCUUGUAGCUCUCUUGUACACAUGAUGUGCACUCAGCACUAUACAUGUGACCUAGCUACAUACCAUCUGUAUCAUCCAAUCUUUCCGAAGGUUCAACCGGGAUUUCUCUCUUUUCCAACAAUUUUACCAAUCAAGUAAUUAUCCACAAACAUAUUUCUAAUAUUUUUAUAAAAUAUCAUAAUACAAGUAAUAGUGAUGUAUUACUUACAUAUAAACUUACAUCUCAUUUAAUAUCAACGCAAUAACAUUAAAUUACACUUUGUCUUAUUAAAAAUCAUAUGAACUUACAAUUUCUCAUAAUAUCCAUAAUCAUAGAAAUCACAUUUAUGUAUGAUAAUUCAAUGCACUUCAUGUACCAUAGACAUAUUUUUAAAUCAAUUCAUAAACUUGGCACCAUAAUCAUUUAAUUUAACAUAAUUCAAUUAAUUCACUAAAUUUAACUUUUAAAUAUAAAUUACAGCAAUAUUGUUAUAUUAUUAUCAUACCAACUUACAUACUUUCAACACCUCGGAGAUCAUAGUAAAUAUAUCAAUUUUACAUUGAAACAUGCAUAAAUUAAUGCUUAUUAUACAUAUGAACUUACCUUGAUAUUAAAACGGCCAUUUUACCAACUUUCCCAAUUUUCGAUUUUUCUCUCAUUCUAGGUUCAAAUCUCAUUUUCUGGGAUCUAAAACAUCAUAUUUUACUAAUUUAAUUAAUGUACUAUUCAAAACAGUCCUUAACUCAAACUUUGGAAAAUUACAAUUUUGCCCCUAAACUUUUACAUAUUUACACUUUUGCCCCUAGGUUCGGGAAUUAAAUUUCAUCCCUUAUUCUUAUGUUUUAUGACAUGAUGAUCACUUUUCCCUUCUAUGGCAACAUCAAAUUCUCACUCUAACAUAUACUUAUAACUAUUAGGUAUUUUUACCGAUUAAGCCCUUUUGCUCGUUUUCACCUAAAAUCGAGUAGCACAAGUUGUCUAACAUAAUUUAAAACCUCAUAUUGUAUCAUAAAACACCAGAAUACACAAAUUUUACCUAUGGGUAUUUUUCCAAAUAUGAACCCUAGGUUGAAUUAUUGCUAGCAUAAGCUAAAUCAAGUUACCGGGACUCUAAAAACGUAAAGAACUUGAAAAACGGGGUUAGAACGGAUUUACAAUUGAGCUUGGGAAGCUUGAAAACCCUAGCCAUGGAGUCUCCCUUGGUAUACACGUCCAUGGUGAAGAAGAUGAGCAAAAUUGGCUUUUAAUUUUGUAUUUUAAUUCAUUUUACCCCUAAAUGACCAAAAUACCCUUACUACUAAACUUUCCAAAAAUUCCAUCCAUGUCCAAUUUUUGUCCAUAACUUAGAAAUUGGUAAAAUUUCUAUUUAAUACCUCCUAGUUAAUAUUUCAAAUCAAUUUCAUACUAGAAACUUCUAGAAUGAAAGUUUUGCAACUUAUUCAAUUUAGUCCCUAACUUCGAAUUAAGCACUUUAUGCAUAGAAUUUCUUCACGAAAUUUUCACACAAUCAUGCAAUCAUAUCAUAGACCUCAAAAUAAUCAUAAAAUAAUUAUUUAUAUCUCAAAUUCUAUGGUCCCGAAACCUCUGUUCCGACUAGACCCAAUUUUGGGCUAUUACACCAUAGCUCGACUAUGGAAACCAAUGGAGUCUGCCAGGACAUUCAACAUGGGGUUGUGUAAAACCAUAGCUCGACUAUGGCAAUAUAAAGAGUCCACCAGAACUUUAAUCAUGGGAUUAAACCGAGUAAGACCAUAGCUUGACUAUGGCAACAUAUGACGUCUGUCGGGAUAUUAAACGCGGGGCAGUCCGCUAGGAGAUUAAACACGAGGUAGACCACCAAGAUGGCAAUUAGAAAAAUAACGUAUAUGGAAAAAAAGGUUAGAAGAAAAUGCAAGUGUUAGCGAGUGAUAGUUAGCAAGUUGAUUUUGAAGAAUCCGUCGAACAAGGCAAAAGUAGUAGAAAAGGGAAUAUGGGAGCUUGUAGGGCAUAUAGGUGGUAACCCAACAAGAAUCAGACAUGGGAAAUGAUGUGCCAGUAGUGCCGAUGUAUAGAAAAAUGAAAGAAGAUUUAUUUGAGGAUUGCAAAUAAGGAUCCUCUAUUAAUAACCACCAGAAGGGGCUUAGUGAAACUUUUUAAGUUAGAGGUUCGAUCAUAAGUACCUUGGAUAGACUAUUUGGUAAAGAGGGGUUAGUUAUAACCUAUUAACAGGUAAAGACACUAAGAAGGUUAAUCCAAGUGACAGAUAUGUCUGUCAAGACUAUUCUUCUUUGAGGAAAACCUAGUGCAAUAGUAUCCUCUAUAUAGUUAGUUCUAUAGGGAACUAUCAUAUAAGGAAGAAUGUAAACUCGAACGGUUAAUAGUCUACUAGAAUUUCAGACCAAAAUGUCCAAUGCAGAUGGAUUCGAUGCACCUUAAAAGUAAGCUAUCAUGGUUAGGAAAGUUUACUAUGGGUAACCCAAACAACAUUUCAACCCGAGUGUAGCGUAGAAGUAGAAAUGAUGAAAUAAUGUUAAGACUGCUAGUGUGGCGUGACCCUUUUCUAAUAGGCCUAAUGAGCAGAAUGUUAGUUAUUUUGCCAAAACUCUUAUAUGUUUACGAGUCAGGAUAAAGAUAAAAAGGAUGUUCAUGAUAGGAAGUGUGAAGAAGGAGAACAAAUUGUAAUAUGUGCAAGGAAAAGUGAGAAUUUGCAAGGAUGAUAAAUCAUCUAGAAUCCACCAAAAUUAGUUGAAUGGUCAAAAGCUCGACCAAGUAAUGAUCGCGCUGCGAUCCAUCUGCCAAUAAAGAAAUGCAAAAGUUGAACAGGAGUCUGACACUACAGAUAGCGUGAAUGUCUAAGUAAAUCAGGGAGUUAGAGUAUUUUAUUUUCUUUUAGGUUAAUACCUCAGCAAGAAGAGGGAUAAUCAUAUUUCUACAUGUAGUAGUAAAGAAACUCUCUAAGUUCAUUUGAGCUUACAGAAGUUUUGGCCUAUGUUUGCAGGAUUUGUGGGAUAGGAAACUCGAGAAGGGACCAAGCCAGACCAUGUUAGACCAAGGAACAUUGCCAGUUAGAUGUCAUGCACAUAAAAAGGGUACUUGCAAAGGCUUUGCCUUGGGGAUUAGAUUUUUUGUAACUAAGUUUAGAGAUUAAAUUUUCAUGUUAGUCAAUUACGUUUAGAUUAAGGUCUUGUUAUAGUAAUUAUUCGAAAUAAAUUUAGAAAAUUCUUUUGGAAAAUUUUGACUUAAGCUUGAUGUUAGACCAAAUCGGUUUAGUUAUGACACCUCAAACCUAGACUCGGCUAUCAGGUUGGGUAAAGGUGUUAUAGCUCUACUCAAUGCUUAGUGGACUGUUUCUGUCAGUGCAAGAUGUUGACAGCCAUUGGGUUUCAUUGUAUACUCAAGGUUCAUUUGUCAGUAACUUUUUUACACUCCAAAAUUGUAACACCCCAAACUCGGCCCUGACAUUAUGGUCGGAUCCGACAUGCCACAUCGAAGCAUUCAAAACAUUUUAUAUUGUUGAUCCAUAAAAACUUACUUAGUGUUUUAAAAGAUGAUUAUAGGUUAAAGUGGAUGGAAGCUGUGCACCAAGUAGGAAACCGGAAAAGAGGAGGUGAGUCUAUCAGACUACUUAAGUACCAAGCUCCCUUCGGAUCCAAUCCUAGACAUGCACACCGCCAUUGCCACACCUUAACGUCAUGUAUAUUUCUAGGAAACCGAUUUGAUUAAGUCAUUUUUAGGAAAAGUGAUUAAUUUUGGAAAAUACUUUCAUUGCGGAAGCUUUGCUUGUUGUCGUGUUAUUUUUGAAAUCAAUUGUUGUUUUUUUUUAAAACGCGCCCUAAAGCUAUCCAAUUUCAACAGUUAAAAUAAGUAAUACCUAUCUUAGUAAUACAUAUUAAAACCAUCAAAAACAAUUAAGCGGCCUUAUUACAUUUAAAAACCCAAAACUUCAAACGUAAAUAAAAGGAUGUCCAGUUCACCAGAAGAAAAUCAAACUUUCAGAACGGGUGGCCACUCCGAAUUCCCUCACAGCUCGAAGCCCACUAUGGUUGGGGAUUACCUGCGUGGAUGAAAAUAAAAAGGGUGAGUUUGGGGAAACUCAGUGUGUAAGGAAAACCCAUUCAAAGCCCAAGUCUGAUCAAGCCUAUUGGGCCUAAGCCCAUUAAGGUAACAGUGGUACUGGACCAGAGCCCUUUUCAGAUUACAAUAAACUGGGCCUUAGCCCCUUAUUCAGAUAACAGUAUGGCCCAUAGGCCCAUUUUAAAAUACAUGCAACAUCAAUAACAUAUGCAAGCCCAUUUGGGGAGACUACUCAACCCACCAACCACUACACUCCACCCGUACCAGCCUUACACUCUAUGUGGGGAAUAGCUCAACCCACCCAGCCCAACACUCCACAGUUGCAGCCUUGCUGCUCAGUUAACAGUAAAUUGAGGCAAAGCCUCCAGUACGUGGACAAGCCACUUUCAGUACUUCCUCCGUCAAUAUCCCAAUCCCAUGCAUCAGAUAAUAACAACAUGGCAUGCAAUAAAUAACAACAGUCAAACAUGCAUUUAGGUCAAUUUAACCCUAGGGGUAUUUUGGUAAUUUAUCUACUAGGGGUAAAAUUGUAAAUUUUCCACUUUUAAAGGUAUUUCAGUAAUUUAUCUAUUUUAGGGUUUUUCAUGCAUAUUCCUACUUUUCACGUACUAACAAAAUCACAUACCGAGGGUUCUUACCGAAUUGGGCCCGUUGGCCCAUCAUUCCAAUUUUGGCUCAUUAAGCCCAAAAAUAUCGAGGGCACAGAAAUCAUGCACUUUACAGUCCAAAUUUUGCAGCUUACCAAAAACAUUAAUCGAUUUACCUCACGAGCAUUCGUACACUCGCAAAUCUAUAAAAUACCGGUUUUCGGCAUUUCGGCUUUUCGACUUUUGCCGAUCCAGACUAAGAAAGAGGGUGUUAGUUACACACCUGUUUGCGACGAUAUGCUGACGAGAUCCACACACGAACUGCCUACAAUUGGAUUACUAACACAUUAAUCUAACUAUUCAAAUACAAACUACGUAUUAACCCCUUACAAUAUUCGGCCAACCACACCUACAGAUCAUAGUAAGCUUAUAAGAAAUCAAUAAGCAACUCAUUAACAAAUUUUUGUCAAUGUUUACCACAUAAUCAUAAUCUCACUGCAAGCUGUCUUCCUGAACAACAGUCACUAAAUCAUUUAUAACUGGAGCUACGAAACUCCAAAUCAAGUGCCGUUAAUUUUCCUUGAAAAUAGACUCAUAUAUCUUAUAUUCAUAAAAUUUUCAGAAUUUUUGGUUUAGCCAAUCAAUACCAGAUUUUUCUUAAUGUUUCCCAUGUUUCACUGUUUGACUAAUCUGACCACUCUUCAUUACGAAUCAAAUUUCUCAUUGUACAGAAUUCAAAAUAUGUUCUCGUUUAUUUCAUUUGAAACUAGACUCAACAAGAUUUAAUUACAUAAUUUAUUCAGCUUCUAACUCAUCUCCCACAAUUUAUGGUGAUUUUCCAAAUUCACGUUACUGCUGCUGUCCCAAGCAGAUUUAUUACCAAAUCACUCUUUCACACAUAACUUGCAUGUAUGUUUUUUUUAAACAUGUAUAUCACCAAUCAAUCAUCACAUAUCUAUGAUUUUACUUAAGUAUAAUCUCCAUUUAAUCAUUUUAAAGAACAACAUAUUAGCCGAUUUUUUUCCCUUUAGCAUCUAAGGCACAUGCAUGCUCAUUUGUUUGGCUCAACUUCACCUAUCUUCCAUUUUUCAUCAAAAGAACAUGAAACAACAACCAUUUCCUUCAUUUUAAUUCAUGACUAAAUGCUCACAACACAACUAAAAACCAAAAUAUGCUUCAAGAGUUAAGGUAGAAUCAAGAACUCAUGAAUUUCAAAAUAGAAGCAAGGUACCAUGAACUUACCUUCAAUUUUUUUCCCCAAGUGACCGAACAUUCAAGAGCUUUCUCCUCUCCUUUCUCUUCUCUAACUUUAGGCUAUGAUGAACAAAGAUAGACAAAACUUUGUUCUUUUCACCCCUUUUUCUUUUAAUAAAAUUUCAUAUUUCAUCCAUUUAAUUCUUUAAUACAAAAGACAUGAAAUGCCCAUCAUGGAACAUUUACUUAAACUAUUAUCAUGGAACAUUUACCUAACCCAUUAUCAUGGAAUAUUUACCUAACCCAUUAUCAAUUUGUACCAUGAAUUACGGAUAUCAAGUGCUCAUAUUGUCUACAACAACAUGAUGGAUGGCCACUUCAUGUAAAAUGGGAGGUUUGUCAUGCAAAUCCUCCUAUUUUGCACUCCUAUUAAUUUGGCCACUUCAAUUUAGCCUAUAGCAUUUUCAAACAUUUUCACAUAGGUCCUAUUUCAUAAUUUCACCCCUUUUUUCUUAUGGAACAAAAAAUUAACUAAAAUUGUCGGGUUCUAUCUUAAACUUGGGCCUUCUAGAGGCCCACUAAUAUAAUUAAACCUAUUCCAACAUUCACAGAAUUCCCGAAAAUUGGGGUGUUACAAAAAUAUAGGUGAGAACGAAUAGAAUCUUAAAGAAAAUGACAUUGAUGCACGCCUUGAAGCUUUUGUUAAUUUAUCAUAAAUUCUUUUUUAUCCCUAUACACCAACAAUCACUUAUAGUAAAAAAAUAUUAAGUUGAUUUUAUUUCAUUAAAAAUUUGAAAUAAAUUAUCUUUUUAAAAAAUAUAUUUUCAAAUUACCAUAUUUAAAAUGUAUUCAAAUUUAUCUAAAAUAAUAUAUUAAUAUUAAAAUUAAGAAAUAAAUAAAUAUUUUUAAAAAUUAAUUUUUACUUUUAUAAGAAAAACAUAAAUAUAUGCAAUACUUAUAUUUUACCAAUUUACCAAACAAUUUUCUAAUAUAAAUUCAAUAGUUAUAAAUUUAAUAAUAAAAAUUCAACACUUAAUUGUUCAAUUUAUAAAAGAACACUUAAAAAUAUAACCAUAACCAUCAAAUACAUAUAAAAAAAAAGAGUAUUAUUGAUCAAAAUCUUACAUGUAAAACAUACCGAAAAUUUAACAUGUACGAUCGUAACAUGUUAUAAUGAAAUUACUUGAAAAAUUGGAGACAAAUCAAAUAAAAUUGAUCGAACUUGAUUUCUCAAAUAUAAAUGAAUCUUUUGUUUCUUUUUUUAAAAAAGCUUUGAUUCAAGGCUCGCUCGAACUUAGGUCUUGUUUGAUUUAAUUCAUUGAAAAAAUUAAAUUAACUAAAAAUAAUAUUUUUAGUAACUUAAUUUUUUUAAGCAUGUUUGAUAAUUCAUAAUAAAAAAUAAAUGACAGAAUUUUUCAAUGAAAAAGUGUGGAAAAUAAUAAGUAGAUAAGGAGUAACUUAUCAGUUAGUGUAUAAUUUUUUUCAAUUAUUUUUAUUUUAUAGAUCCUUUAAAUACUUCACCUUUAAAAUUUUAAGAAUUACAUUUAUGAAACAAUCUAAUUACAUUCUGCACUUAGUUUUAAGAAAUAUGGCAAACAUAUUAUAUAAUUUAAAUCCAGAACUUAAUUUUUAAAUUUAUGAAGCAACACCUUAAUCUUGAAACAAUGCAGUCUUCUUCAAGGUACAUUGAGACUUGAUAUUGAAAAUAGGUUUAGAGAGAUACUUGCUUGAGAGUAUUGUCACACCGCAAGUUUUUCUUGUAACACCCCAGUUUUGGCGAGUACAAGGUUUGGCGUGUAGCUUCAAAUAGUUUAAUUGGCGGAAUGAUAUUUGCCCAUGAACAUCUUUUGGCUUAGAGUGGGCAUAUCCCUUAAGUGUGUAAGUUAAUGGUACUGUAAUAUCAAAAUUCUUAUGUUGAUGGGAGUAGGGUGCCAGAUAAAUAAAAAGGUUUGUGGUUUGAGUUCAUGCUUGAGAAGGGGAUUUACGCCUUUUUUGUCUGUAGCAUUGUGCAAGUUGAGUUGCAAGGUAAGUUGGUUAGAGGCCAACUGAAUAUACGUCUGGAUUGUAACACCCCUCGCCCGUAUCCCUCACUGGAACAGGGUUCGAGAUGUUACCCGACUUAAACUCAGUCAAUCACACAAAAACCGUGCUGUAAAAUUUCAAUCAAUUUAAAACUUUUCUUUUCACAUGCAAUCUAUCCCAUAUAUGAGCUUACGAGGUCCAAAACAUUAAAACCCUAUACAUGCCAUAGACUCGAAAUACUAAGAUUUACUUACACCGAUAACGUGAGCUCGACAGUGUGAUAAUAUCUCCGACGAACUCCAACCCGAGCAGGUAACUGAAGUCAACAAUCUAUAAAACAGAGAAAUGUAACAAUGGAGUAAGCUUUCAUAAGCUUAGUAAGUCUUAAGCAAUGCAAACAAAUAAACGCAAUUAUACUUCGAUUAUUUAAUUUCUUAAGAGGCCAAAUUCUAGGGAUAUUGCCAUCUGGACGAAUAUACACAAGCACAUAAUGCACGUUUAGCAUUCUCAUCACACUUAAUCUGAAUUCAUAUAACGUAUUUUUAUCAAAUACCCUCACAUACUUUCACACCCUGACCAGGUGUAUCAUGAUCAUAGGUAUAGUUUUAACAUUUAUUCACGUACGUAUCACAUUACUCCCUUAUGAUUCACUUCAAAUCAAACUCACAUAUGAGUACAUACUGCGUACCUGGCCUACUUUACGUAUUAAAUGUAUUCAUUUGACAAUCUAGCACAAGGUACCUUAGUCAUAGGCUUUUCUCAAAUCACCGGUAUUUCGCCUGCUAGGCUCGAGGCCCGAUAUCAUUUCAUCGGCUUUAUAGCCUGCUAGGCUCGAAAGCCCGAAUAGUAUCUUACCGACAUUAUAGUCUGCUAAGCUCAAAGGCCCGAAUAAUCAAAUCAACAAGUUCCAUAUAACAUAUUCAUAUCAAUUGAGUACUAACAUUAUUCGAACGUAUAUAUAAUUAUACAUCUCAAACAUUUUUCUUUCAUCUCAUUUUCACACUUAACAUUUGAUAGCUUAUGCAUAACAUUUCACUCACAUUCAUUUCAAACUUAUCAUUCGAUUAUAAAAGCAUAUUGCAUAUUUACCAACAUGUUAUACUUGCCAUUAGGCCAUAUAAGCAUGAUACAAUGCACUAUCAUUUCAUCUUUAACAUUCGGCUAAACCCUUAUCUUACAAGGAACACCGAAUUCACAUAACAUAUCAUUUCAUUGGCAUUAACCUGCUAGGCACGAAGGCCCGAAUACACAUCACCGGUACGAAGCCUGCUAGGCACGAAGGCCCGAAUACAUAUCACCAGUACGAAGCCUGCUAGGCACGAAGGCCCAAAUACACAUUACUGGCACGAAGCCUGCUAGGCACGAAGGCUCGAAUACACAUCACCGGCACGAAGCCUGCUAGGCACGAAGGCCCGAAUACACAUCACCGGCACGAAGCCUGCUAGGCACGAAGGCCCGAAUAUAAUACCAGCACUAGGCCUGCGGGAUUUAUCCAAGAUAUAAUACCAGCACGAAGCCUGCGGGAUUUAACCCGGAUAUUUUACCAGCACGAAGCCUGCGGGUCUUUAAGCCCGGAUACACAUCAAAUAUCAUGCAUAUUUAAUUAUAUAUUAACACAUCUCAUUCAACAUAUCACAUUUCCAUUUCACCAUUCAAACUUAACCCAUAGUGACCAUUCGACUAUAAGUCAUAUGCAUAAAUUAUUUAUCGCGCAACUUAGUUCAACUAGAACCAAAAGGUCACGAUUCAUCUAAUAUAUACAUAUUGCUCACUGAUUCGCACACAACCUUUCAAAUUAGCAAUUAUAAGAUGGUUCCGCACAUAGCCCAUCCUUAUCGAUAAUUUACGAUGGUUUUACCCUUAGUCACGUAUAUGUCAUAGGCAUUUUUACCUAUUCUUCUCAAUUCAUAUUCAUGACUCAAUUCCAAUCGAUUUAACGUGCCUAAGUACAUAUCGCAUACCUGAAUAAUUUACUUUACGAAACGAAUCCACAUAUCGUAUUAGCCCAUAGUCUUAUAGCACCACACUUUUAAUGGUUUACCUCAUCGAGGUUCACAUUUAAUCACUUUAGUGCCAAGCCAUAUUUGGCUAUCACAAAGAACUAAUAAUAAUAAUUUUAUACACAUCAUGGUUUCCUUUAGGUAUUUAAUAAUCACAAAUCGUGAUAUCUCUACCAGCACAUAUACGACAUAGUUUAUUCAUUGUAACACUCAUUUAGUGCAUCAAAUUUCCAAAUCCAAUUCAACUUAAGCAUAAUAGCCAUAAUCGGCUUAUAGCCUUAAAUCAUUACAUAUUCGGCACAUUAACUAAAUAAAAUUUACAUUCCCUUUACCAUAUUAAUUUAACUCUUGGGCAUAUAAAAAGGAAUCAAGCUUAAACACUUAAGAACUUACCUCGAAUGUUUCCGAAUGAUUACAACGGCUAUUCGAUUACUUUCUCUUUUCUCUUAUCCGAAUUUGCCCCUCUAUGCUCUUGAGCUUAAAAUUUAAAGAUUUUAAACUAGUCAUUAUUCGACUAUUCAAGCAUCACUUUCAAAAUAUAAUAUAUAUAUUCAACUUUCACACCUAUUGAUCAUAGUAAGCUUAUAAGAAAUCAAUAAGCAACUCAUUUGUCAAUGUUUACCACAUAAUCAUAAUUUCACUGCAAGCUAUCUUCCUGAGCUACAAUUACUAAAUCAUUUAUAACUGGAGCUAUGAAACUCCAAAUCAAGUUCCGUUAAUUUUCUCUGAAAAUAGACCCAUAUAUCUUUUACCCAUAAAUUCAGGAUUUUUGGUUUGGCCAAUCAAUACCAGAUUUUUCUUAAAGUUUCCCAUAUUUCACUGUUUGACUAAUCUGACCACUCUUCACUACGAAUCAAAUUUCUCAUUGUAUAAAAUUCAAAAUAUGUUCUCGUUUAUAUCAUUUGAAACUAGACUCAUUAAGCUUUAAUUACAUAAUUUAUUCAACUUCUAACUCAUCUCCCACAAUUUAUGGUGGUUUUCCAAAAUCACGUUACUGCUGCUGUCCCAAGCAGAUUUAUUACCAAUUCACUCUUUCACACAUACCUUGCAUGCAUGUUAUUUAAACAUGCAUAUCACAAAUCAAUCAUCACAUACCUAUAACUUCACUUAAGCAUAAUCUUCCUUUCAUCAUUUUAAAGCACAACAUUACUCAAUAUUAUCCAAGUUCACAUUCGGCCAUAAUACACACAACAUGUUAACCGAUUUUUCCCCUUAGCAUCUAAGGCACAUGCAUGCUCAUUUGCUUGGCUCAACUUCAUCUAUUCUCCAUUUUUCAUCAAAAGAACAUGAAACAAAAACCAUUUCUCUCAUUUCCAUUCAUGACCGAAUGCUCACAACACAACCAAAUAUAAAAAAUAUGCUUCAUGGGUUAAGGUAGAAACAAGAAAAACCCAUGAACAUCAAAAUAGAAGCAAAGCACCAUGAACUUACCUUGGAUUUUCUUCCCCAAGUGACCGAACAUUCAAGAGCUCUUUUCCUCUCCUUUCUCUUCCAUUUUUGGCUACCAUGAACAAGGAUGGACAAAACUUUUCCUUCACUUCCUUUUGUUACUCUUAUUAUUCUAAUUACCCAACAAUUUAUGACACAAAAUGGCAUAUAAUAUUUGUGCCAUACUCAUGCCAUAAUUUCAAUAAAAAAAUAUGCACAUGUUGUCUACCACCAACAUGAUGGUCGGCCACUACAUGUAAAAUGGGAGGUUUGACAUGCAAAUCCUCUUAUUUUACACUGCAAAUUAUUUGGCCACUACAAUUUGGCCUAUAGCAUUUUCAGAAAUUUUCACAUAGGUCCUAUUUCAUAAUUUUACUCUCAAAUGACAAAAUCAAAGCAUGAAAUUUUCACACAUGCACUUUCACAUAUAAUAAACACAGAAUAUAACAUUUAAUUAUUUUUGUGACUCGAUUUUGUGAUCCCAAAACCACUUUUCGACUAGGGCCAAAUUAGGGCUGUCACAACUCUCCCCCCUUAGGAAUUUUCGUCCCCGAAAAUCUUACCAGAAGAAAUAGUUUCUACUCUAAAAACGUUUUCGCCAAAUUCUCGGAAUCACAAUUUUUCCAUUCUUCACAUGUAUCUCUUUUUACCAAAAAUCCAGAACUUUGGUCUACACCAACAGAUCACAUCAUAGAUAAACAAACAUUUCACAAUCGGAGUUCAUAUAAAGAUCCUUUACAUAACCUUUAACCCAUCUGUAUACUUAUUCCAUAUUAGAACAAUAAUAACAUCAACAGAAAUCUUAUAUGUCCAGAUAUCCAAAAUCAAAUAACUGUUACUCUGAACUCAUUUUGAACUAUCACAUUUCAUAUACUUUUAUAAGAUGGAAUACCAUUUAAUAGAAACAGAAGAAUAACAUCGUAUGAAUUUAUCCUCGAAUUUAUUCCGAUCAUACUACAAUAAAAUCUUAUAAUAAUAACACUGAUAAGGGGGUGGGGUCGUUAAGCCUCGAAAAGAACCUUCAUAUUUGUAUACACAGAUAACUUUAUCACUCAUCAUAAUAUUACACACAUUGAUUCAAACAUUUCAAAUUUCCAAUUCGUUAUAGAUACAAUUUCACAUAUCUCAGUAAUACACGCAACUUUAUUUCAAGUGAAUAUUAGCAAAACAUAAAUGAAUUUAUCACAAUUCACACUUUCAUUUCUCUUACUCAAAUUACCAAUAAUGUCUUAUCAAGUUUCCACAUUUAGUAUUGAUCUCUUGUCAAUAUUUAUCAAAUCGAAAAACGUCUUACAGUUUUGAGUACAUCGCUUACUUGAUGCCAUAGUCCAACUAUGGUCUUAUACUAGCUCUGCUCUGACCGUGCUGAUGCCUAUUCCCGAUAGGUCUUACACUAGCACUCACUGGGCUGUGCCGAUGCCUAUCCCAGAUAGGUCUUAUGCUUAGCACAAGUCGAGCUGAUGCCACGUCCCCGAUGGGUCUUACACUAGUUCAUCUGUCUCAUGUAUUGCCAUGGUCCAACCAUGGUCUUUUCCGUCAAUUCAUUAGUGAACGAUCGUACUCAUUCCCUUUCAAUUUCGUCAUAUCACAAUAUAUCACAAUCAGUUCAAUAGCAUUUUUGGAUCAAUUAAUAAUAGCUCGGUUGGAACACAUCAUUACCUGAGCAAAAUAAUUUAUAAGAGCUGGGAGAUAUCACACUAUCACGCUUUACUUACGGCAUGUAUAGCUAAACUCUUAUACUUGCUAUGUUAGUCCGAGAACCGACUAAACCAUAGCUCUGAUACCACUUAAUGUAACACCCCUCGCCCGUAUCCCUCACCGGAAUAGGGUUCGAGGUGUUACCCAACUUAAACUCAGUCAAUCACACAAAAAUCGUGCUGUAAAAUUUCAAUCAAUUUAAAACUUUUCUUUUCACAUGCAAUCUAUCCCAUAUAUGAGCUUACGAGGUCCAAAACAUUAAAACCCUAUACAUGCCAUAGACUCGAAAUACUAAGAUUUACUUACACCGAUAACGUGAGCUCGACAGUGUGAUAAUAUCUCCGACGAACUCCAACCCGAGCAGGUAACUGAAGUCAACAAUCUAUAAAACAGAGAAAUGUAACAACGGAGUAAGCUUUCAUAAGCUUAGUAAGUCUUAAGCAAUGCAAACAAAUAAACGCAAUUAUACUUCGAUUAUUUAAUUUCUUAAGAGGCCAAAUUCUAGGGAUAUUGCCAUCUGGCCGAAUAUACACAAGCACAUAAUACACGUUUAGCAUUCUUAUCACACUUAAUCUGAAUUCAUAUAAUAUAUUUUUAUCAAAUACCCUCACAUACUUUCACACCCUGACCAGGUGUAUCAUGAUCAUAGGUAUAGUUUUAACAUUUAUUCACGUACGUAUCACAUUAUCCCUUAUGAUUCACUUCAAAUCAAACUCACAUAUGAGUACAUACUGCGUACCUGGCCCACUUUACGUAUUAAAUGUAUUCAUUUGACAAUCUAGCACGAGGUACCUUAGUCAUAGGCUUUUCUCAAAUCACCGGCAUUUCGCCUGCUAGGCUCGAGGCCCGAUAUCAUUUCACCGGUUUUAUAGCUUGCUAGGCUCGAAAGCCUGAAUAGUAUCUUACCGACAUUAUAGUCUGCUAGGCUCAAAUGCCCGAAUAAUCAAAUCAACAAGUUCCAUAUAACAUAUUCAUAUCAAUUGAGUACUAACAUCAUUCGAACGUAUAUAUAAUUAUACAUCUCAAACAUUUUUCUUUCAUCUCAUUUUCACACUUAACAUUUGAUAGCUUAUGCAUAACAUUUCACUCACAUUCAUUUCAAACUUAUCAUUCGAUUAUAAAAGCACAUUGCAUAUUUACCAACAUGUUAUACUUGCCAUUAGGCCUUAUAAGCAUGAUACAAUACACUAUCAUUUCAUCUUUAAAAUUCGGCUAAACCCUUAUCUUACAAGGAACACCGAAUUCACAUAACAUAUCAUUUCACCGGCAUUACGCCUGUUAGGUACGAAGGCCCGAAUACACAUCACCGGCAUGAAGCCUGCUAGGCAUGAAGGCCCGAAUAUACAUCACUGGUACGAAGCCAGCUAGGCACGAAGGCCCGAAUACACAUCACCGGCACGAAGCCUACUAGGCACGAAGGCCCGAAUACACAUCACCGGCACGGAGCCUGGUAGGUACGAAGGCCUGAAUACACAUCACCGGCACGAAGCCUGCUAGGCACGAAGGCCCGAAUAUAAUACCAGCACUAGGCCUGCGGGAUUUAUCCCGGAUAUAAUACCAACACGAAGCCUGCGGGAUUUAACCCGGAUAUUUUACUAGCACAAAGUUUGCGGGUCUUUAAGCCCGGAUACACAUCAAAUAUCCUGCAUAUUUAAUUAUAUAUUAACACAUUUCAUGUAAUACCCCGAAAAUUUUUUAGAGUAAAAUAUUAUCCGUGAUAUAGUAAAAUAAGGAAAUAAAGUGACAAAAAGGGAAUUUUUGAGUGAUGUCAAUAUUGAGAAGUAUAUUAUUAUAUAUUAAUUCAAGAAAGGACUAAAUUGCAAAGAUGAGAAAAGUCUUGUUACACAAGAGUAAAUACUCAAAAUUUAAGGGGUUGAAGUGUAAAUAUAAAAAAGUUGAAGGACUAAUGGUGCAAAUAUUUUAAGGGUGGAAUGAUCUAGAAACCAAGAAAAAUUGAUGAAUUAGGACCAAAUUGAAUAGGUAAAAAAAUUAUGAGGGACUAAAUCACAAUUUUACCAAAUUAAGUGAUGACACAACGAUGGAAUUCUAAAAGAUCAUGAAGGGCAAAAUGGUAAAUUAGUAAGAGAGAGAAUUCUAGAAUGUAAUGAUUAUGUUGAUGAUAUUUUAAAUUAAUUAAUUAGAUAAAUAUUAUUUUAUUAACAUUUUAUGAGAUGUUUAUUAUUAUUAUAUUAUUAUUUAUUUAGUAUAAAAGGAAGGAAAGAUGAAGAAUUAUCAACACAUUUCCUUUCACAUGCAAACUAACGUAAGAUAAGAAGAAGAAAAGAAGUUUGCUUUCUUUACAAUUUAGUCCUUCCACCAAAAAUUCAUUAUUUUCGCCUAAAAAUUGAAAGAAUUUCCAUAGCCAUCAAGAGAGAAAGAUAGCAAGGAGAUGAUGGGGAUCAAGAAUAUCAAGUUGGAUUCAAGAAAUCGAAGCUGGAGGAGAGAGAAAAAUCAAGUUAAAGAUUGAAGUCAAUAAGAAAAGGUAAGUACAUCAAGAUUUCAAUAUGUUUUUAAGUUUGUUAUUAUUGAUAAAGCAUGGAAAUAAUGUUAUAGUAGAGUUUUCUUACAUAAGGUCCUAUGUUCUUGAUAUGUUAGUGAAGAAAAAAUAAGAUAAAGUGAUGAGAAAUGGUGUAGAAAAAGAAAAUAAGGAUGUUAUAACAUGGUAAUUAAUAUCUUGUACUAAAACAGUUUUGGACAGCAGCAGUAGUCUAACUUUGAAAAAUCAUAAAAAAUUGUAGAAAUCUAAUUAUAGGAUAAAUAAAAUAUUAAAUUAAAUCUUAUUAAGUCUAGUUUCUUAUAUAAGAAAUUAUGUAAGCAAUGGAAUUCUAAAUCAUAAGAUAUGAUGAAUUUUGUGAGACAAGGUCAGAAUGAUUUCGGGUUCCCCUGUUCUGAAUUUGUAAAAUCAUAAAAAAAUUGGAUAAAAAUAAUUAGGGGCUUAAAUUUAUAUUUUUAGAAUCCUGAAUGAGUCUAUUUUCAAUAGAAAUAAAUAUGAACAUCAUUUGAAUUCUGUACAAGGAGAUAAUUAAUUUUUAGUGAAGAAGGGUCACAACUGUCAGACAGCAGAAUAGGGGUAACUUUAAAGAAUAAACUGUACUCAUUGACUAAACCAAAAAUUCUAAAAAUUGUAUGGUAAGAAGAUAUAUGAGUCUAGUUUCAUGAAAAAUUAGCGGAUCUUAAUUUUGAGUCCUAUAUCUCCAGAUAUAAAUAAUUUAGCGACUAUGACACAGAUGGACAGCUUGAAUAUUCAUAAAAGUAAAUAAUAAAGAUUAUAGAUAAUGUUACUUACAAGUGUGCUACAUACAUCAAGGAUGUGGAAUGAAGAGGAGGAAGAGGAAAACAUAUAUGAAUAUUCAUUAAGCAUGGCUAAUUUGCAUAUUUUAGGUUUAGGGACUAAAUUGAAUAAAAGUAAACCUUUAUGGGUAAUUUUGUAAAAAUUUCAGAAAUGACAAAAUUGCAUGAAAUGGAUGAUUUUAUUAUUUAAAUUACAAAAUUGAAUGAAAUUAUUAAUUUAGUUCAAUAUCGGGGGGAAAACAUGUUUUAGGGAUUAAAUUGAAAAGUGUUGAAAUUAUGGAAAAUUAUGAUAUUUUAUAGAAUUCAUGGACUGUUAUCAAUAUAUAUGAGAAUAAUAGCUGGAAAUAAGGAUUAAAUUGCAGGAAUUUUAUUUUUCUGACCCUAAGGACGAAAUCGUCAUUAAUUAAAAGUUUAGGGGCAAAAUGAUAAUUUUGCCUAGAGCAUUAAUUAAAUGCAUUAGAAGAUGAAAUGAAUGAAAAUGAUGAUCAAAUUUAUUUAUAAAGAUGCGGACGACUCAAAUAUGAGACUUGAUCGUGGAAAAGAAAAGAUAUCGGAUUAAUGAAAUUAUAAACAGAAACAAGCAAUGAGGUAAGUUUGUGUAACUUGAAUUGUAUUUUAAAUACUUGAAAUAUGUGGUUAUGUGAUGAAAAUAUGAUUUGAAUGUUCAAUUCAUGAUAUUUGAUGAAAUAUUGAUAAUGCUCGAUAUAAAUUGAAAAUAAAUCUCAGUUGAAUGAAAGGAAAAUUCGAUGGGUCUCUGAAAAGGAAUUGACGGUAAAAAGGAUCUAGCCCGGACGGGUGAUCCUAUUCUGAUAUAGCCCUCCCGAAGAAUACGUGUAAAAUGGAUUUAGCCCGGACGGGUAAUCCGAAUUAGGGUCUGAAUUUAGGCUGGACUGGUAAUUCAGAUCCAAGCUCAUUAGAGUAAUUGUCGUUGCAGGGGAUUUAGCCUGGACUGGUAAUCCCAACAAUACUCUAUGAGUUUAUAUUACAGGGGAUUUAGCCUGGACUGGUAAUCCCACUGUAAGGAUGAGGUUCGCGGGAGUGUGCUCUCUGAUAUGAAAUGUGUAAGACCAUGGUUGAAAGAUACCAUGGCAGCCUGAUAUGAAAUGUGUAAGACCAUGGUUGAAAGAUACCAUGGCAGCCUAAUAUGAAAUGUGUAAGACCAUGGUUGAAAGAUACCAUGGCAGCCUGAUAUGAAAUGUGUAAGACCAUGGUUGAAAGAUACCAUGGCAACCUGAUAUGAAAUGUGUAAGACCAUGGUUGAAAGAUACCAUGGCAACGUGAUAUGAAAUGAACAAGACCAUGGUUGAAAGAUACCAUGGCAACAUGACAGAAAAUGAGUAAGACCAUAGUUGAAAGAUACUAUGGCAUCAUGUCAAAGAUAAAUAAGACCGUGGAUGGGAGACGCUCUAACAUCUGUUGAACAAUUGAUAUUCAGGUAAUAUGUAUCAGAUGACGAAUGGUUAUAUGAAAUAAUUAUGAAGAUAGAUAAACGAAAUAAGUAUAAGUACAUGGAAUAUAGUUUAUGUUAAGUUUGAUAUAAGCUAUUACCGGAAUAAAUAUACAUAAAAUAUAUGGAAAUGAUGGAGCAUGAAAUAUUGAUAUAAUGAAAUGAAUGAUAUAUGCUUAUGAAGAAACGGUAAGAGCAUGAUAUGUUUCAUGACAUGUACAUAUAUGAUUAUCUUUGAUAUGUUGAUACAAGGAAAUUAUGUAAGUUAAGACUAUUAUUAAACUCAAGUGCGAUAUGUCGAGAAAAUAGAUAUAUCAAUGUUGAAUUUAUAUGAGAUAUGUGCAAGUAUACUAACAAUGUUGCUGUUUGAUGCUUAUACAAGUGUCAAACUGUUGAUUGAAUGGUAAUAUAUUUAUUUAUAUGAUGCAUUGAAUCGGUAAGUAUUUAAAAUUUUUUUUAGUGAUCUGUAAAUGGUAGUAAUGCUCCGAAACCCUGUUCUGGCAGCGGAUACGGGUUAGGGGUGUUACAUUUCAUUCAACAUAUCACAUUUCCAUUUCACCAUUCGAACUUAACCCAUAGUGACCAUUCGACUAUAAGUCAUAUGCAUAAAUUAUUUAUCGCGCAACUUAGUUCAAGUAGAACCAAAAGGUCACGAUUCAUCUAAUAUAUACAUAUUGCUCACUAAUUCGUACACAACCUUUCAAAUUAGCAAUUAUAAGAUGGUUCCGCACAUAGCCCAUCCUUAUCGAUAAUUUACGAUGGUUUUACCCUUACUCACAUAUAUGUCAUAGGCAUUUUUACCUAUGCUUCUCAAUUCACAUUCAUGAUUCAAUUCCAAUCGAUUUAACAUGCCUAAGUAUAUAUCGCAUACCUGAAUAAUUUACUUUACGGAACGAAUCCACAUAUCGUAUUAGCCCAUAGUCUUAUAGCACCACACUUUUAAUGGUUUACCUCAUCGAAGUUCACAUUUAAUCACUUUAGUGCCAAGCCAUAUUCGGCUAUCACAAAGGACUAAUAAUAAUAAUUUUAUACACAUCAUGGUUUCCUUUAGGUAUUUAAUAAUCACAAAUCGUGAUAUCUCCACCAGCACAUAUACGACAUAGUUUAUUCAUUGUAACACUCAUUUAGUGCAUCAAAUUUCCAAAUCCAAUUCAACUUAAGCAUAAUAGCCAUAAUCGGCUUAUAGCCUUAAAUCAUUACAUAUUCGGCACAUUAACUAAAUAAAAUUUACAUUCCCUUUACCAUAUUAAUUUAACUCUUGGGCAUAUAAAAAGGAAUCAAGCUUAAACACUUAAGAACUUACCUCCAAUGUUGCUGAAUGAUUACAAUGGCUAUUCGAUUACUUUCUCUUUUCUCUUAUCCGAAUUUGCCCCUCUAUGCUCUUGAGCUUAAAAUUUAAAGAUUUUAAACUAGUCAUUAUUCGACUAUUCAAGCAUCACUUUCAAAAUAUAAUAUAUAUAUUCAACUUUCACACCUAUUGAUCAUAGUAAGCUUAUAAGAAAUCAAUAAGCAACUCAUUUGUCAAUGUUUACCACAUAAUCAUAAUUUCACUGCAAGCUGUCUUCCUGAGCUACAAUUACUAAAUCAUUUAUAACUGGAGCUAUGAAACUCCAAAUCAAGUUCCGUUAAUUUUCUCUGAAAAUAGACCCAUAUAUCUUUUACCCAUAAAUUCAGGAUUUUUGGUUUGGCCAAUCAAUACCAGAUUUUUCUUAAAGUUUCCCUUAUUUCACUGUUUGACUAAUCUGACCACUCUUCACUACGAAUCAAAUUUCUCAUUGUAAAAAAUUCAAAAUAUGUUCUCGUUUAUAUCAUUUGAAACUAGACUCAUUAAGAUUUAAUUACAUAAUUUAUUCAGCUUCUAACUCAUCUCCCACAAUUUAUGGUGAUUUUCCAAAAUCACGUUACUGUUGCUGUCCCAAGCAGAUUUAUUACCAAUUCACUCUUUCACACAUACCUUGCAUGCAUGUUAUUUAAACAUGCAUAUUACAACUCAAUCAUCACAUACCUAUAACUUCACUUAAGCAUAAUCUUCCUUUCAAAAUUUUAAAGCACAACAUUACUCAAUAUUAUCCAUGUUCACAUUCGGCCAUAAUACACACAACAUUUUAGCCGAUUUUUCCCCUUAGCAUCUAAGGCACAUGCAUACUCAUUUGCUUGGCUCAACUUCAUCUAUUCUCCAUUUUUCAUCAAAAGAACAUGAAACAACAACCAUUUCUCUCAUUUCCAUUCAUGACUGAAUGCUCACAACACAACCAAAUAUCAAAAAUAUGCUUCAUGGGUUAAGGUAGAAACAAGAAAAACCUAUGAACAUCAAAAUAGAAGUAAAGCAUCAUGAACUUACCUUGGAUUUUCUUCCCCAAGUGACCGAACAUUCAAGAGCUCUUUUCCUCUCCUUUCUCUUUCAUUUUUGGCUACCAUGAACAAGGAUGGACAAAACUUUUCCUUCACUUCCUUUUGUUACUCUUAUUAUUCUAAUUACCCAACAAUUUAUGACACAAAAUGGCAUAUAAUAUUUGUGCCAUACUCAUGCCAUAAUUUCAAUAAAAAAAUUUGCACAUGUUGUCUACCACCAACAUGAUGGCCGGCCACUACAUGUAAGAUGGGAGGUUUGACAUGCAAAUCCUCCUAUUUUACACUACAAAUUAUUUGGCCACUACAAUUUGGCCUAUAGCAUUUUCAAAAAUUUUCACAUAGGUCCUAUUUCAUAAUUUUACUCUCAAAUAACAAAAUCAAAGCAUGAAAUUUUCACACAUGCACUUUCACAUAUAAUAAACACAGAAUAUAACAUUUAAUUAUUUUUGUGACUCGGUUUUGUGAUCCCGAAACCACUUUUCGACUAGGGCCAAAUUAGGGCUGUCACAUGGAUAGUUAGAAUCAGGGGUACUCGAUUAAGUUUCUCAGAAAGUGGUAAACCUUUGGAAAAGAUAAUUUAGUAAGGAUGUAACACUUAUCAAGUUCCAAUAAGGACUUAGAUUACAUUAAUGGAUAAUCAAGUUAAAGAAAGAGGGAGUUUUCUUCUUCCUUCUUUAAGAAGCACUACUAUCUAAAUCUUAAGAAAAAUCUAAAGUAUUACCUUCUCUCUAAGUUGGAGUUGCAAAUCGAGAUCUCUGUUAAUGACUAUUCCAUGUCAAUGUAAGUAUUGUGACUCUGUAUGUUAAAGUUAUGAAGGAUUAAAUCUGAAUAAGUGCAUGAAUAGUAAGAUGAAGAAGUAAGGUUUAAUAUAAGGAUUACUUAGGUUUGUGAUGAUGGUAUAGGUUACGAACGAGUUUUAAACACAAAAUCUGAAGGAAAUGUCCAUGGCCAUGACACCUUCUGAAAGAAACUAAAGGACAACGAUUACCUAAUGGGGUUCUCUGCGUGUCCUGAGGCGAUGAUGGGCAAGCCUUACAUAAUGUGAGUUUAGACAAAUCCAUAUCGUAAACAUGCUAGGAAAUAAAAAACCUUUGUAGAUAAACAUGAAAAAAAAGCCUUUGUGGAAAAUCAUGAAAGAAAAGCUUUUGUUGCGAAACAUGAAAGAAAAGUUUUUGUGGCAAAUCUUGAAAGAAAAGCCUUUGUGGUGAAAUAUGAAAGGAAAGCUUUAUGGUGAAAUAUGAAAGAAAAACCUUUGUGAUGAAACAUGAAAGAAAAACUUUUGUGGCGAAAUAUGUGUAACACCCCUUACCCGUAUUCGAUACCGGAAUAGGGUACGAGGCAUUACUGGACUUAAACACAAGCAAACAUACACUUUCGGGUUAUAAAUUAGCAUUCAAAUUAAAAUUUUUGCAUUUGAUCAUAAAGUCCCUAUUACGAGCCUACGAGGCCCAAAAAUACUUUGGAAGCAGUUCGGGACUAAACCGAGAAUUUUAGAAAAUUUCACAACACUUAGAAUUUUUUUCAUGUUUUAAGAGUCACAGGCCUGUAUAGGCAGGCUGUGUGGUUACACACACCCGUGUCCCUAACCCGUGUAACUCUCUGUUUGUCACCUAAGAACAAAUUGAAGUCACACGGCCAAGUCACACACCCGUGUGCUAGGCUGUGUGGUCGAUUUAAAAUUUAUGAUUUCUAAUAAAAUAGGUGCAGACUUCACACACCCAUGCCUGAGGCUGUGUCAUCCACACGGCUGAGACACACGCCCGUGUCUCUGCCUGUGUGCUCAAAUCUGAGCAUUCUAUUUUGCAACAAUUAAGGUGUAGGGAGCACACGGUUAGAUCACACGCCUAUGGGGCAAGCCGUGUGUCUCACACGGCCUAGACACACAUGUGUGUCUACCCGUGUGGACAAAAAUAAGGCUAUUUACCAAGCCAUUUUGUCACCCUUUUAUACACACACCUACACAACAAAACAUAGCACCAUUUCAAGCAAUUAUAUUCAACCAAUUCAGCCACAAUCAAGACAUCCACACAUCAUUCACAUGCUACCAUUUACUACAUACAAACAUCACAUACUUACCAACUUAACCAUGCAAAUUUCCAUAUCUAUGAAAACAUCAUCAUAUGCACAUAUACUUAAACCAAUAUUAGCCAAUUCCAUUUAGCCAUUUACAAAAUGAAUCAUCAACCAAUAUAGGCCAACACAUUAGGCCAAAUCAAUUAUGACACAUAACAAAAUAACCAAGUCCUUAUACAUGCCAUAACUCAAAAUGUUAAAUUCUUUGGUACCCAAAAUAAUAAGUUGAUAGUGUGAGUGGAUCUCUGACGGUCUCCGAUCUCCGAGCUAGCUUGGUGACACUAUAAGACAAGAGAAAAGAAAAAGGGAGUAAGCUUUAAAGCUUAGCAAGUUCCCAUGCAAAUAAUAGGCAUCAUAAACACACAUUUAACAUAUAAUUAACAUGAUGAUAAUUAGCAUAAAUAUCAAUAAAAUCUUAUAAUCAUAACUUACUCAAUCAAAAUCUUACCGAGGGUUCGUCACAUAACAAGGUCAUUUCGUAUGAGUUUUAUGUACAUAACUGAACCAUCUUGAAUUGGAUUUACACACAAUUCAUCUUUGGCAUACUCGUUAAAUUACUCGUUGAACCACUUGGAAUACUAAAGGAUACUCGGGAGUUCUGUACACACGGUAUCAUACCAAUGCCAUAUCCCAGAUAUGGUCUUACAUGGGAUCUCGUUUCGAUGCCAAUAGCCUAGCUAUGGCCUUAUACGAAGUCUCAUAUUGAUGCCAUAUCCUAGAUAUGGUCUUACACGAAAUCUCAUAUAGAUGCCAUAUCCCAGAUAUGGUCUUACACAUAGUCUUAGUAACCCUAAUGUCAUGACAUUUGCAUCCUAUCUAUUCCUAAGGUUCAACCGGGAUUUCACUCUUGUCAUAACUUUGUCGAACAUGCUCAAUGGUCAAUCAUAAUUCAUACAAUAGUAAAGCAUUUAAAACAUAAUUAUAACAAUGCAUUAUUUACAUAAAAAUUUACCUCGGUACAAAAAACAAUAGAAAUAGGACCUAAUCAUCAAACACCUUAUUUUUCCCCUGGUCUAGGUUCGAACCUCGUUUCUCUUGAUCCAUAAUAGCAUAUUUAACUCAUUUAUUAUUGACAUUAUUCAAUUCAGCCCAAAAAUUAUACUAUGGAAAAAUUACGUUUUUGCCCUUAAAUUUUGAUAUAUUUCCAUUUAGGAACCUAGGCUCGUAAAUUGAAAUCUAUUCAAUUUCAUCAAGACCCAAGCCUAGCCAAAUGUAUUUCAUGCUUAUAAUAGCUCACAUUUUCCAUUUAAUCAAACUUUUAUACACAUUUUGAAAUAUUUUUACAAAUAGGUCCUUUUGAUAUUUUCAUUAAAAAUCACCUAGAAAAAGUUGUUUAUCUAACAUUAAACUUGCAUAAUCUACCAUUAGACAUCAAAAUACACAAAUAUCUAACAUGGGUCAAACCCUAGAUCUCAAUCAUCUCUCAAAUUAAUGGUAGAAAUAGAUAAACCGGGUGAUAACGACUUCAAAAAUAUAAAGAGACUUACAAUCGAGCUUGAACAGUGGCAAAACCCUAGAUAUGUCUCCCUUGAAAGUUUCGGCCAAGCAUGAAGAAGAUGGACUAAAUUUUGACUUGAUUUUUGGUUUUGAAUUCAUUUAAUUACCAAAUGAUCAAAAUGCCCUUUUUUCAAAACACUAAAAUUCUCUUACCUCAUGUCUAUUUUUGUUCAAUUUAAAGUAAAAUGGUCUAAUUACCAUCUAAGGACCCUUCGAUUUAAAAUUUCAUAACAAUUAGCCACCUCUGGCAUGUAGAACUCAACUUUUUCACUUUUUACAAUUUAGUCCUUUUUGCUAAAUUGAGUGCUCAAACAUCAAAAUUUUCGAACAAAAUUUUUACGAAAUCAUUCCAUAAAACUGUUGACCUUAAAAAUGUAAUAAAAACAAGUUUUACUACGUCAGAUUAGUGGUCUCGAAACCACUAUUCCAACUAGGCCCAAAAUCGGGCUGUUACAUCUCUCCCCCUUUAAGGAUUUUCGUCCUCGAAAAUCUUACCAGAAAAUAGGUUUGGGUAUUGUUUUCUCAUAGCCUCCUCGGGUUCUCAUGUAACCUCUUCAACCCCAUGUUGUUGCCAUAACACUUUCACUAGGGCUAUACUCUUAUUUCCCAACUGUUUAACUUCUCGAGCUAAGAUCUUUAUAGGUUCUUCACCAUACGUCAUAUCCGGUCGAAUCUCAAUCUCUAAUAGAGAAAUCACAUGCGAAGGAUCAGAAUGAUAUCGUUGCAACAUCGAUACAUGAAACACAUAGUGAAUACUUUCCAACUCUUUCGGUAAAGCUAACUGAUAUGCCACUAGCCCUAUUCUUUCAAUAACCUCAUAUGGCCCAAUGAAAUGUGGACUCAACUUGCCUUUACGGCCAAAUCUCAGAAUCUUCUCUCACGGAGAUAGUUUCAAAAUACUUUAUCACCAACCUGAAACUCAAUCUCUUUUCUUUUCAAAUCCGCAUAAGACUUUUAUCGAUCUGAAGCUGCUUUCAAACAAUCACGGAUUACCUUUACAUUUUCUUCGAUUUCUCUGACCAAAUCAACCUCGCGAUUCUGUUUCUCACUAAGCUUGGUCCAAUACAAGGUGUUUGGCACUUGCAGCCAUACAAUGCCUCAUAAGGCGCUAUCUUUAUACUCGACUAAAAGCUAUUGUUAUAAGCAAACUUGACUAAUGGUAGAUAUUUUUCCCAACUACCCUCAAAUUCUAGAACACAACAUCGGAGCAUAUCUUUGAGUACCUGAAUCAUUCUUUCAGACUGACCUUCGGUUUGUGGAUGAAAUGCGGUACUAAAUUUCAACUUCACACCCAAAGCCUCUUGGAACAUUUUCCAAAAUCUCGAAGUGAAUCUCGGAUCUUUAUCCGAAAUAAUAGACAUAGGUACUCCGUGGAAUCUCCCAAUCUCUGAAAUGUACAAUUUGGCUAACUUGUCAAGUGAGUAGUCAGUACGUACCGGAAUAAAAUGAGCCGAUUUUGUCAAUCUAUCAACAAUGACCCAAAUGGCAUCUUUCUUUUUCAAAGUCAAAGCCAAACCCAUUACGAAGUCCAUCGUAAUUAUAUCCCAUUUCCAUUCAGGUACCAUCAUUGGCUGAAGUAAACCCGAAGGCACUCGGUGUUCAGCUUUCACUUGUUGACAAAUCAAACACUUCGAAACAAACUAAAAAAUAUCUCGUUUCAUACCUGACCACCAAUACAAUUUCUUCAAAUCAUUAUACAUUUUUGUACUACCCAGAUGCACAGAUAAACAAAUAUUAUGUGCUUCAUGAAGAAUUUUCUGAGUAAGUUCAUCAUUUUUCGAUACACAAAUUCUGCUUCAAAUCAUCAAACAAUCAUCGGAUUCAAUAUGAAAAUCUAACUCACUACCCGAUUCACAAUGAACUCUUUUGGCUAGCAAAUCACUAUCACAUUUCUGAGCUUCACAAAUUUGUUGAAGAAACAACGAUCUAACUCUCAACUCGGCUAGGAUCGAACCAUUAUAUGGUAAAUUCAACCUUGUAUUCAUCGCUCUCAAAGCAAACCAAGUCUUUCUACUAACGUAUCUACGACUACAUUUGCCUUACCCAGGUGAUAAUUAAUUUCUAGCUCGUAAUCCUUCUGUAACUCAAGCCAUCUCCGUUGCCGCAAGUUCAAAUCUUUUUGAGUCAUCAAGUAUUUUAAACUCUUAUGAUCAAUAAAGAUAUAGCAUCUUUUACCGUACAAAUGAUGUCUCCAAAUUUUUAAAGCAAACACAAUGGCGGCUAAUUCCAAAUCAUGUGUCAGAUAAUUCUUCUCAUGCAGUUUCAACUAUCUCGAGGCAUAAGCUAUCACUUUGCCCUCUUGCAUCAACACACAUCCCAAUCCAUUUAGUGACGCGUCACUAUAAAUUACGAAUUCUUUUCCCGGUUUAGGUUGCACUAAAAUCAGUGUCUCAGUCAAUAAUGCUUUCAAUUUCUCGAAACUUUGCUAACAUUUUUUCGACCAUUCAAACUUAACAUCUUUUUGCAACAGCUUGGUAAUAGGAGUAGAAAUCAUCGAAAAUCCUUUGACGAAACAUCGGUAAUAUCCGGUUAAGCCCAAAAAACUUCUAACUUUAGAUACAUUUCUCGAUGGUUUCCAAUCAACAAUAGCCGAAAUCUUACUUAGAUCAAAUCGAAUACCAUCACCUGAAACAAUAUGUCCCAAAAAUCUGACUUCUCGGAGCCAAAAUUUGCUUUUACUAAAUUUAGCAAACAACUGCUUAUCUCUCAAAGUGUAAUAUAGUCCUCAAGUGCUCAGCAUGCUCGAACUCGUCUCGAGAACAAAUUAGAAUGUCAUUAAUAGACACAACUACAAACUUGUCCAAAUAUAGUCAAAAAAUUCUAUUCAUCAAGUUCAUAAAGACAGCAGGUGCAUUUGUUAAUCCAAAAGGCAUAACAAGGAAUUCAUAAUGCCCAUACCUUGUUCUAAAAGUGGUUUUUGGUACAUUUGACUCUUUAACUCUCAACUGAUAGUAGCCAUAUCUCAAAUCAAUCUUCGAGAAUACUGUUCCCCUUUUCAAUUGAUCAAACAAGUCAUCAAUUCUCGGCAUAUGAUAUUUGUUCUUUAUAGUCACCUUGUUGAGCUAACAGUAGUCAAUACAAAGCCUCAUGGAUUUGUCUUUCUUCCUUACAAAUAACAUUAGAGCACCCCAGGGGGAAACACUUGGUCUCGCAAAACCCUUUUCUGUCAACUCUUGCAACUGAGCUUUUCAUUCUUUCAAUUCAGUGAGGGCCAUCCUAUAUGGAGCAAUAGAUAUCGGCGAGGUCUCUGGUACUAAAUCAAUACCAAACUCGACUUCUUUAACUGGUGGUAACCCGGAAAACUCUUCUGGGUAUACAUCUGGAUAUUCACAAACUAUCGGCACUGAUUCAAUUUUCAAUUCAGACAUAUUUGUAUUCAACACAUAAGCAAGAUAAGCUUCACAACCUUUCCUUAUAUAUUUCUUAGCAGACAUCAAAGAAACCACAACAAGUAACUCACCCGAUUCAUCAGAAUCAAUCCAAAGAAUUUCACCAUUUUCACAUUUCAGUUCAAUAAUCUUUCUUUUACAUUUCACAACGGCAUCAUGCAGCGUCAACCAAUCCAUACCCAAUAUAACAUCGAAUUCAUCAAAUGGCAACAAUGUCCUCGAAUCCUCAAGGGACAAUUCUUGCAAACUUUAUCAACUAACACAUGUUUGCCUAAAGGGUUUGACACACAGGCAAGCUCUUACUACUUACCAAUUUCACACAAACAUAAGCAUGGGUCGAUCCAGGAUCAAUCAAUGAACUACAUUAGCAUUAUAGAGAAAAAAGUACCAGUGAUAACAUCAGGAGAUGUCACUUCUUCUCGAGCACGGAUGGCAUAGGCUCUAGCAGGUGUUCGAGAGUCGAAUCUCACAGCUGAAUCCUUCGUCACACCUUUACUACUAGCUCCAUUUCCAGUAUUCCUCGGUGCCCUACCCCUAUUAGUAGCAUUACUCGGCCUUGCACUCUGAAAUUCUUCUUUCUCAGCCAUUUCAAGGAAAUCUCUGAUAAAAUGCUCUUGAGAGCCACACUUGAAACAAGCCCGAUCAUUUAUUCUACACUCACCGGGGUGACGUCUGCCACAAUGCUUACAUUUAGGUCUGUUAGGCCUCACAUUACCCACACUUUCCAUUGAAGUGGCAUGAGGUUUAAAACUCAAGUAUUGCUUCCCUCGAUCUCUGUGAGAAUACCCAGUUGAUACAUUCAAGCAGGAAUACAUUUCUUUAGAUUUCUUUGAAUGAGAUGGAAACAACUUACUUAUCGGUCUUUUUCUCAAAUCUUUAGUUUCACAAUCAGCUUUCCUCUUUUCUUUAUUCUACUCUUUAGCCUUACAAGCUCGCUCGACCAAUGCUACAAAUUCUUUCAAUUCUAAGAUCCCAACUAACACACGAAUAUCCUCAUUCAAUCCAUCCUCAAAUCUCUUACACAUGAUAGCCUCAGUGGAAACACACUCUCGGGCAUAUUUACUAAGUUUGACAAAUUCUCGCUUAUACUUUAUCAUUGUCAUACAACCCUGUUUCAGCUCAAUAAAUUUCUUACGUUUCUGAUCGAUGAGCCGCUAACUAAUAUAUUUCUUUUGGAACUUUUCCUGAAAGAAUUCCCAUGUAACCCUCUCUUAUAGUACCACCGAUACCAGUGUAUUCCACCAAUGAUAUGCAGAAUCUCUCAGAAUUGAGAUAGCACACUUUAAACACUCAUCCGGUGCGUAAGAGAACUUAUCAAAUAUCCUGAUGGAGUUUUCGAGCCAAAACUCGGCUCUCUCGAGCUCAUUAUCCAUAUUAGCUCUGAAAUCUUCAGUUCCAUGCUUACAGAUCUUAUCAACCGGGGGCUUAUUCAUUCUUACAAAUUCCAUACCUUGUGGAGCUACGGGAACAGGUUGAGGAAUAGGUGAGGGUGGAGGAGGUUGGGCAUUCGAAUUUGUUUGAACAAAUUUCGUAUACCACUCAUUCAUCAUAUGGAGAAAGGCUUCCCUACCCCCUUCUUCCUGACUAAUCGUUAGGGGUCUACUAUCAGAGGGCGCUGCCCCUUGAGCGGGAGCUGGUGCAUUACUUUCAACGUCAUCACCGUCAGCUACGUUAUGACAUGUAUAGCUAGACUCUUACACACGCUACGUUAGUCCAAGAAUUGACUAAAUUAUAGCUCUGGUGCCACUAAAUGUAACACCUCUUACCAGUAUUUGACGCCGGAAAAGGAUACGAGGCAUUAACGGACUUAAACACAAGCAAACAUACACUUUCGGGUUAUAAAUUUACGUUCAAAUUUAAAUUUUUGCAUUUAAUCAUAAAGUCCCUAUUAUGAUCCUAUGAGGCCCAAAACAUAAUUUGGAAGCGGUUCGGGACUAAACCGAGAAUUUUAGAAAAUUUCACAACACUUAGAAAAUUUUUCAUUUUUUAAGAGCCACAUGCCCGUAUGGGCAGGCCGUGUGGUCACACACGCCCGUGUCUCUAACCCGUGUAACUUUUGUUUGUCACCUAAGAACAAAUUGAAGUCACAUAGCCAAGUCACACGCCUGUGUGCUAGGCUGUGUGGUCGAUUUAAAAUUUAUGAUUUUUCAUAAAACAGGUGCAGACUUCACAUGCCCAGGGCACACGCCUAUGCCUGAGGCCGUGUUAUCCACACAGCUAAGACACACUCCCGUGUCUCUACCCAUAUGCUCAAUUCUGAGCAUUCUGUUUUGCAACAAUUAAGGUGCAGGGGAUAGAUGGGCGGGUCAUACGCUCAUAGGGCAAGCCGUGUGUCUCACAUAGCCUAGAGACACGCCUCUGUGUCUACCCUUGUGGACAAAAAUAAGGUUAUUUUCCAAGCCAUUUUGUCACCCUUUUAUGAACACACCUACAUAACAAAACAUAGCAGCAUUUCAAGAAAAUACAUUCAACAAAUUCAGCCACAAUCAAGACAUCCACACAUCAUUCACAUACAACCAUUUACUACAUACAAACAUCACAUACUUAUCAACUUAACCAUGCAAAUUUCCACAUCCAUGAAAACAUCAUCAUAUGCUCAUAUAUUUAAACCAAUAUUAGCCAAUUCCAUUUGGCCAUUUACAAAAUGAAUCAUCAACCAAUAUAGGCCAAUACAUUAGGCAAAAUCAAUUAUGACACAUAACAAAAUAACCAAGUCCCUAUACAUGCCAUAACUCAAAAUGUUAAAUUCUUUGGUACCCAAAAUAAUAAGAUGAUAGUGUGAGUGGAUCUUUGAUGGUCUCCGAUCUCCGAGCUAUCUUGGUGAAACUAUAAGACAAGGGAAAAGAAAAGGGAAGUAAGCUUUAAAGCUUAGCAAGUUCCCAUGCAAAUAAUAGGCAUCAUAAACACACAUUUAACAUAUAAUUAACAUGAUGAUAAUUAGCAUAAAUAUCAAUAAAAUCUUAUAAUCAUAACUUACUUAAUCAAAAUCUUACCGAGGGUUUAUCAUAUAACGAGCUCAUUUCGUAUAAGUUUUAUGUAAAUACCUGAAUCAUCUCGAAUUGGAUUUAUACACAAUUCAUCUUUGACAUACUCAUUAAAUUACCCGUUGAACCACUUAGAAUACUAAAGGAUGCUUGAGAGUUCUAUACACACGAUAUCAUACCAAUGCCAUAAGUAACACUCCUUACCCGUAUUCGACACUAGAACAGGUACGAGGCAUUACCAGAUUUAAACUCAAACAAAAAUACAAAACCGAGACAUGAAUUUCUACUCAAAUUUAAAACUUUUCACAUGUAUUCUUAUCAUCCCUAUUACGGGCUUAUGAGGCCCAAAACAUACAUUGGGAACAAUUCGGGACUAAACCGAGAACAUUGGAAACAUUUUGGAAACUUAGAUAUAAUUUUUCAUGCAAAAAGAGUCACACGCCCGUGUGGGUAGGCCGCAUGGUCACACACGUCCGUGUCCCUAACCCGUGUAACUCUCUGUUUAAACGCAUCAACAAAUUGAAGUCACACGGCCAAGUCACACGCCCAUGUCUCUACCCGUGUGCUCGAUACUAAACAUUCUAUUUUGCAACAAUUAAGGUGCAGAGGACACACGGCUGGAACACACGCCUAUGGAGCAAGCCAUGUGUCACACACGGCCUAGACACGCACCCAUGUGUCUACCCGUGCGGACAAAAUAAAAGCUAUAUGCCAAGCCAUUUGCCACAUUUAUUCACACAUAACUUAUGCCAAUUCAAAGGCACCAAACAUAAAAUACUUGGCAUCCAAUACCAUCAUAACUGAGGCUUAAACAUGUCAUUUAAAAGCCAACAUCUAUCAUGCUUACAACAUCAUACUUUGCCAAACUCAAACAUACCACAAGCACAUCCAUAAUUAAGACAAUAACAUGACAUCCUCAUGCCAUUAUUUAUCAUGCAUAGAACAUCAACCUUUCCACACCAAACAUGCAAAAUUUCACAUUCACAAAUGGCAUUAAUAUGUGAAUAUACUCAUAACCAAUAUUAGCUAACCUCCAUGGCUUUAUACAAAAAUGAACUAAACACCAUUGCAAGUCAACACAUAUAGCCAAAUUAAUAAUGACAUAUAUAACCAAAAUACCAAUUCCAAUACAUGCCAUAAACUCAAAAUAAUUGAAUUCAUUAAUACCCAAAGUGAUAGCUGGAUAGUGUGAUAGGAUCUCCGACUACCUCUAACCCGAGCUAGCUUAUUAACCUAUAAGACAUGGGAAAGGAAGGGGGUAAGCUAUAUAGCUUAGUAAGUCCGUAUGAAAAUAACAAGCAACUCUUACCAAUCAUUUACCAAGUUUAAUAAUAUAAACACAAUGUAAUAUAAACUGCUAUAAUCUUCACAAUUAUAAUUUACUCAAUCAUAUAGUUUGCUCUAUCAAUUUGCAAACAUAGUUUAACAUGUUUUGACAUUAGCCUAAGAGUUGUAAUCUCUCCGUUAACACAGAUAUCCAAAAUCAACCAAUCAUUUCAAACCUUAUAAUAAACAUGAGCAUUCUCAUUAGUAUUCAUCUUUCAAGCAUAUAUUUUAACGUCAUUCAAUGUUUAAAACUUAUAUCUCCUCAUACUUCUAUAAUCAUUUUAAUAUGGGCAUUUAUGCCAAUAUUUUCUUUUUCUCAUAUAUGAUAAUUCACAUAUUGUGCAAUAAAACAUAAUUUGUCAUAACUUAAUUUUGGCCCAAAAGCCAAUUACACAACUGCCAAUCGAAUUUACCAUGAACUCACAAUAUCAUGAAAUCAAUGCUUGUAAACUUAUGUACAUACCUGUACAAAUCUGUAACAUAGUCAUAGACUUUGUCAUCUUUGACAUACUCUUCGGAUUACCCGUUGAACACUUGGAAUAAUAUCGGAUACACGGAAAGUCUUGCACAUAAAUGCCACAUAUGUAGCCAAUGCUACCUCAUAUCUCGUAACACAUAGGGUUCACAGAUGAGCUAAUCACGAGCUUGCUCACAAAAGCUGUCAGUCAAGACGUAACUACACGGGCUGCUCACACAAGUUGUCAGGUAUCCGCAACACAUGCCGGACUACCCAGCCACCGGUAGGACGUACAUGACUAGCACCCAGAUUGAAAUAGAUCACAUAACGCAUGGUAUCUUAGUGACAUGUUACUUUUAUCCUAAUCUAUUCCUAAGGUUCAAAUGGAAUUUCUCAUUGUACCGAUUCUCUAUCGAUCAUUUUCGUAGUACUGUACUCAAUAAUAUUCACAUUUCAUUUCAAUAAUAUAUCACUUAUCAAAAAUAUAACAAUUAAGCAUUAAUACAUAAAUAAUUUAUUUCUUAUUAAACAUACGAACUUACCUCGAAUGCGACAACGAUGAAAAGGACCUAUUUGUCCAAUAUUUGUUUUUCUCUCGAUCUAGACUCGAACUUUAUUUUUCUUGAUCUAUAAUAUCAAAUUUAGCCCACUUAUUAGUCACAUUAUUUAAUGUGACCCAAAAAUCAUAUUAUUGAAAAAUUACUUUUUUGCCUCUAAAGUUUCACAUAUUUAUAUUUUUGCCCCUAAGCUCAAAAAAUGAAAUUUAUUCAAUUUCUUUAACAUACAAGCCUAGCCGAAUCAUUUUCAUAACUAUAACAGCCGACACUUUCCAUUAAAACACACUUUUACUACAUAUUUUAUAACUUUUACAAAUUAGUCCUUUUAAGCAUUUUCACUGAAAAUCACUUAGCAAAAGUCGUUUAACAAACAACUAACAUGCAAUUUCUACCAUCAAUUAUCAAAAUACACAAAUAUUCAACAUGGGUAAAAAUUUAAACUUUGACAUCUCUUCAAAUUAGUGGUAGAAAUAGGUAGAUCUUGUUACGAGGAUUUCAAAAACAUAAAAAUCAUUAAAAAACGGGACUAGAACGGACUUACUAUGGAGCUUGGAAAGCAUGAAAAAAACUCUAGCCAUGGUGGUCUUCAAAAAUUCAGCCAAGGGGUUGAAGAUGAGCAAAAUUUGGCUUUUAUUUUGUUUAUUUAAUCAACUAAUUACUAAAUGACCAAAAUGCCCCUCACUUAAAAAUAUUCUAUUUCACCUAUUUAAUGUCCAUUUUUGUUUAACAAAUUAACCAAUGGUCUAAUUACCAUUUAAGGAUCUAUAAUUUAAAAUUUCAUAACAAUUGGACGCCUCUAGCUUCUAGAACUCAAGUUUUGCACUUUUUACAAUUUAGUCCUUUUGACUAAAUUGAGUGCCCAAACGUCAAAAUUUUCAAACGAAAUUUUCACAAAAUAAUUCCAUAAAAUUUUAGACCAUAAAAAUAUAAUAAAAACAAUUUUUCCUAUGUCAGAUUUCUGGUCCCGAAACCACUGUUCCAACUAGGCCCAAAAUCAGGUUGGUACACCAUAUCCCCAAUAUGGUCUUACAUGGGAUCUCAUUUCGAUGCCAAUAACCCAGCUAUGGUCUUACACGAAGUCUCAUAUCGAUGCCAUAUCCCAUAUAUAGUCUUACAUGAAAUCUAAUAUAGAUGUCAUAUCCCAGAUAUGUCUUACACAUGGUCUUAGUAACCUUAAUGUCAUGACAUUUGUAUCCUAUUUAUUCCUAAGGUUCAACCGGGAUUUCACGCUUGUCGUAACUUUUUCGAACAUGCUCAAUGGUCAAUCAUAACUCAUACAAUAUUAAAGCAUUUAAAACAUAAUUAUAACAAUGCAUUAUUUACAUAAGAACUUACAUCGGUACAAAAACAGUAAAAAUAGGACCAAAUCGUCAAACACCUUGUUUUUCCCCCGAUCUAGGUCCGAACCUUGUUUCUCUUGAUCUAUAAUAGCAAAUUUAACUCAUUUAUUAUUCACAUUAUUCAAUUCAGCCCAGAAAUUAAAUUAUGCUAAAAUUACGUUCUUACCCCUAAACUUUGACAUAUUUACACUUUGGUCCCUAGGCUCGUAAAUUGAAAUCUAUUCAAUUUCAUCAAGACCCAAUCCUAUUCGAACCUUUUUCAUGCUUAUAACAGCUCACGUUUUCCAUUUAAUCACACUUCUAUACACAUUUUGAAGUCUUUUUACAAAUAGGUCCUUUUGAUAUUUUCAUAAAAAAUCACCAAGCAAAAGUUAAUAAGUCAGAUUCGUGGUCCCAGAACCACUAUUCUGACUAGGCCUAAAAUUGGGCUGUUACAAUAUGAAAAGAAAGCCUUUGUGGAAAAACAUGAAAGAAAAGCCUUUGUAUCGAAUCAUGAAAGAAAAGCCCUUGUGGUGAAAUAGAAAAGAAAAUCCCUUGUGGCAAACCUUGCAAGGAUAGCCUUUGUGGCAUACUCAGGAUGAAAUGCCUUAUGGUGUGUCUUAAUAGGACUCUCAAUGAAGAGCUUGAAGGAUAUUCUUUGUGGCGUGUCACAAUAAAGCCUUCAUGGCGUAUUCUAACAAAUUUCCUUAGUGGCGCAUUCUAUAUGACUCUUAAGUGUAAUCAGUGGAGUUAGUAAGGACAAAGUUUAUAUAUGGACUAGAUGGUAAAGUAUUAUAGAAGAAUAAGAUUUUAUCAGAAAUAAUGAAUUGAAGAGAAAUAGAGAUGUAAUGUGUUAGCAUUGAAAAUGUAUUCUGCUAGGGGCAUGAAUUUGUAUGAUCAAAGGAAGUACCUGUGAUAUGCAUAUGUGUUGCUUCUAGAAUUGUGAUGAGGUGAUGACUCAAAGAUUGAAGGAUUUAAGUGAUUUAUCGAAGACAUUUGUUCAGAAAAGGAAAUAACUUCAGAGUGAGGUAUAGUAUCAAACAAGUAUAAUAGAAUAAAACUUGAGGAAAUAUUCAUCAGAGACAAAUUUGAAGGUUAAGAAUGAUAAGAUUGUCUAUAUAAAUUAUUGGUUGCAAAAUGAAAAUAUGAAUCAGGUAAAUGCCGUUUUUCUCACUAAGUUCUUAUGAGCUUAAAUGAGUUUAUACUUUUUUUAAGCUAGGAGAAACGAUACGAGGACUACGACAAAGGAAAAGGUGUAUCGGGUUUUAUGCAUGUAGAGCACGUUUGGCGGCGUAUUCAAAGUUUGAAUUAUCACUGAGAAUUCUAUACUUGGGGUGUCUGUAAUAGAUUAGGAUUUGAAAUCAAAUAUCAUUGUAAUUUAAUUACCACGUGUUGUAGUUGCAUUUACUUCUUGUAUAUGCUUAUGUAUUCAAGUUAAAAAUUUUAUAAUUAAGUAAGUUGUAAUUUAUUGUAAUUCGUAUAAGUGAACUAAGUUUGUGUCUGUAUUUGUUUGGUAAUACCCAAUAUCUGGAUUUGGUUAUUCGGAUUGGGUUAAAGGAGUCAUAAGUCUGGUAUUAGAGCUUGGUUUAGUCGGUUCUUGGACCACAAAGGUAAAGAAGCCUUGAAAGCAUAAUACAUCAAACCCACUUCCACUCUGGAAUCAUCACAGAUUGUAAUAAAGUGGAAGGUACCUGAUGUUCGGCUUUAGCUUGCUAACAGAUUAAGCAUUUUGAUAUGAACUCUGAAAUCUCUCGUUUCAUGCCUAGCCACCAGUACAUCUGUUUCAAAUCACCAUACAUUUUAUUGCUAUCAGGAUAUAUCAAUAAGGUACUGCUAUGAGCUUCUUGUAAAAUCUUCUAAAUAAGAUCAGGUUUCUCGAAACACAAAUUCUAUUUUUGAAGUACAAACUAUCGUCCAAACCAACAUGAAAAUUUGAAUUAGAUGUCGACUUAAUCUGUUUCUGUUUGGCAAUCAAUUUAUCGUCACUUUUCUGAGCUUCACUAAUUUUUUGCAAAAUUGUUAGUUUAGCCUUUAAUUCAACUAAAAUUGAACCAUCACUAGUUAACGUCAACCGUGUGUUCAAAACUAGCAAAGAAAAUAGAGAUUUUCUACUCAAAGCAUCAGUAACAACAUUAGCCUAUCUCAGAUGAUAAUCAAUGAUCAAAUCAUACUCUUUUACUAACUCAAGCCAUCUACGAUGUCUCAAAUUCAAAUCUUGUUGUGACAUCAAACUUCAGGCUUUUUUGAUCUAUGAAAAUAUGACAAUUUUUUCCGUACAAAUGGUGUCACCAAAUGUUUAAAGCAAACAUAAUAGUUGUAAGUUCUAAAUCAUGAGUCGGGUAAUUCUUUUCGUGCAGUUUCAAUUGUCACAAAGUAUACACUAUCAGUUUGCUUUAUUGCAUCAAAACACAAUCUAAACUAUUUAAUGAAGCAUCACUAAAAAUAAAAAAUCCUUUACCAGACUCUGGUUGAACCAACACAAGUGCCUCGGUUAACAACGCUUUCAACUGGCUAAAACUUUCCUAACAAUUCUCAGACCAUUCGAACUUGACAUCUUUUUGUAGCAGUUUUUUCAAUGGCGUAGCAAUCAUCAAAAAUCCCUUUACAAAUCUUCUAUAAUAUUUGACUAAACCCAGAAAAAUUUUGACACAUUUCUUGGAGGUUUCUAGUCCACUAUAGUUGAGAUUUUACUCGGAUCAACUUUAGUACUUUCUGCCGACACUACGUGUCCCAAAAAUCCAACUUCUCAGAGCCAGAGGUCACAUUUGCUAAACUUAGUGAACAACUGUCUUUCGUGAAAAGUCUGCAAAAUAACUUUCAAAUGCUGGUGUAACACCCCGAAUUUGGGCCUAGAAGUAUUGGGCCUUGAGUGGGGGUCCAUAAGGAGGUUGUAUAUAGGUAUUUAAUUGUGUAAUGAAAUGAAACAAUUAAAUGUUUGCUUUAGUGGUUAAUGGCUUUGAGAAGUGUUGGAGAAAUCUUGGGUUCAAACUUGGGCUUUAGCAAAAAUUUUGGUAUUAAAUGAAAAAAACAUGGAUGCUUGGAUGAGGGCCUUUUAAAUUAUUGUGUUAAAUAAAUGACACAAGGAGCAAUGUGGUCUAGUGGAAGUGGCGUAAUUAAGGUUGUAUGGGAGCCUGGGUUCAAGUCUUGGCUCUUGCAAUUUAUUCUUUUUUUUUAAGGGAACCUGGACUUUGGCCUUUAGACCUUAUAAUUAAUUGGGGAUAAAAUAAGACACAAAAAGAACCUGUGGUGAAGUGGCAAGGUGGCGUCAUAGAGUUGGCAAGGAGGUCCAGGGUUCGAAACUCAUGGCAAUCAAAGAGCAUUUAUUUUGCUAACAGGGGGCGGCAAGAGUUGGUGUUGAAUUUAAACUCUGAUGUUGGAAGGAUCCCACAUCGGGAAGCUAACAUAAGAGUGGAUGCGAAGCUGGCUUUAAAUAGAGAGAACCAUGAGGAGAGUAAAGGUACCUUUCUUGGCUGAUCCCUUUCGCUGUAUGGAGUGCUUGUUUGGGUUGGGCGUCGGCUAAGAGUGCUCAGAGCGUGGAUUAACUCCAGUCUCCUAUCAGGUGUGUAUUUCUCACUACUCUAGUUGUAGGAUGGCUACUUCGGGCCGCGAUGGGCCGAAAGGGGCCAUGUGGGCCCAAUGGGCCUACGAGCCCAAUUGGAUAAGUUGUUUGAUUGUGUAGUAAAUAUUGGACUAGGCUAGGUGAAUCUCAUAUUUGUGGCUAGAUUUGGGCUAAAAGGGCCACACGAGCAUGUGGGCCUAUUUGGGCCGAGAAUAGGCUUUAGGGCCAUUCGUUUGUUAUCCCUGUUUAGAAUACUUUAGUUUACCAAUUACAAAAAUGCCCUCGACUUGUAAAAUUACCAAAGUACCCUUGAUUUAUAGAAUCAUUGUUUUACCCUUGAUUUACAGAAUUACUGUUUUACCCUCGACUUACAAAAUUACCGUUUUACCCUCAAUUGUGAAAUUACUAAAAUACCCCUAUAGGAUAGAAUUACCAAAAUACCCCUAAUUUACAAAAUUACAGAAAUACCCUUGACUUUCUAAAAAUUAUAGAAAUACCAUUGGUUUACAAAAUUACUGAAAUACCCUUAGUUUGUAGAUUUACCAAAACACCCUUGUAGGAUGAAAUGACUAAAAUACCCCUAAUAGGUAAAAAGAUCGUAAAGCCCCUGUAGGGUAAAGUGACCGUAAUACCCCUGUAUGGUAAAAUAAUGAAUAUGCCCUUAUGUUCCGUAUGACUGAUGUGCUUAGGAUUUACAUAUAUUGAUAUUGGAUUAGUUAAGUUUGAGUGAUAGGUGGUGGUUAUCGUAGGUGAUUGAUAUUGGAAACGUUUCAACUUCAACCCAUAACAGGUGUGUAAUAACCCUCGCAGUAGCUUAGAUUAAUAUUCGCCGAAAUGCCGAAAUGCUAAAAUUUCGGCAUUUCGGGAACUUGUGAUGUUGCCUUUGCUUAAUGAUGCGAUAGAUAUGAUAUGAUCGGUGUUUGGAUUGAUGGAGCAGGUAAGAGCGCAAUUUUGUGCACGAUGGUAAGUUCGGCCUCAAUGGGCUGGAAUCGGGCCCAAUGGGCUUUCGAGCCCAUUUGGGUAAAACUGAUAGAAAAUGGAAUCUGGAAAAGUUGCAUGUUAACACGAUUAGUACUGUUGUAAAAUUUGGAUUAAGCAGGCUUAGUGGGCUAAAUCAGCAUUCGUAGGGCCCAUUAGGGGUUUUGGGCCUAAAAGCCCGAAUUUGAUAAAGUGGGUUAAAGAUCAUUGUUUAAACACUCGGAAAUAUUGAUAAUUGUUAAUGAACAUGGAAAACACUAAUAUUUGGUAAAAUUACGAAAUUACCCUUAUAAUAAGAAAAAUGACUGUUUUGCCCUUGUGGGCAAGUGACUAACUUGUACUAUAUGGUUGAUGCAUUUGAUUGUGAAUAUAUGUUGGUGAUAUGAAUGACUUGACUGUGAUUGUUUGAUUCAAAUAUGGGCAUGACAUUCUGCAUACAUGACAUGUUGCAUGGGUUGGGUUUUAUAAAUGGAGGAAGUGCUAAAAGGGCUAUGCCCCAGUUUACCGAAAAGGGCUUUUCCCCAGUUUAUAAAAAAGGGCUUUGCCCCAGUUAUUAAAAGAGGCUAGGCCUCCAGUUAUAUGAUAAAGCAGCUAUGCUGCUAGUGGAGAGUUUGGUUGGGUGGGUUGAGUUAUUCCCCACACGGUGUGUUGGUUGGUACGGGUGGAGAGUAGCGGAUGGUGGGUUGAGUAGUCUCCCCAAAUGGGCUUGCAUACAUUCAUUGAUAUUACAUGUGAUAUUGAAAUGGGCCUAUGGGCCAUACCGCUUACAGUAAAGGCUUCGGCCCAGUAUAUGUCGAGACUGAAUUAGGGCUUAGGCCCAUACUGCUACUGUUUAAGGGCUAAGGCCCAGACUGUACUGUUACUGAAUAGGGCUUUGGCCUAGAUUGUACUGACACUGUGUUAUUCACUGUUUGUUUGUUGUUGGGGAUUACACACUGAGUUUUCAUAAACUCACUGUGACAGCCCAAAAUUGACCCUAGUCGGGAAGUGGUUUCGGGACCGCUAAACCGAGUCACCGAAAUGUUUGAAUGUGAUAUUUAUUGUCUAGAAUAUGUAAUUAUGAAUGUGUGAACAUUUCAAGCUUCGAUUUAGUCGAUUGCAUGUGAAUUUAGUCAAUAGGACUUAUGUGCGACAUUUUUAAAAUAUGAUAGGUCGAAGCAUAAGGACCUAUUAGUGCAUGAAAUAAAAAGGGGGACUUGCAUGUCAAAUUUCCCCCCCUAAUUAGUAGUGGCCGGCCAUGACAAGCAUGGUAGACCAAGUGUGAUGGGCAAGACAUGUCAUAGACAUGUUGUGUUGGUGCAUCAUGGGUGGAAAAAAAUAAAAUAAGGAGAAUGGGCAUAAAAUAAUGAAAAGGAAUAUGAUGGAAACAAAAAAAAAGUGUGUGGUUGUCUUCCCCCCCCCCCAUUUUGCCGAAACUAGAAAGAAAAACAAAAAAAAGUGCUCAUCCUUUGGUUCAUCUUUGGCCAAAAAUUUUAAGGAGGGAGGAAGAAGAAAGGUUGAAGAGGUUCGGCCAUGCAUGUAACUAGGCUAAGGUAUGUUUGAUGAUGUUCCAUGAGAUGCAUGCAUGUUUUAAGUUGUAAGUUUGAAAUCUACCUAGCCAUGGUUCAGAUUUUGUUAAUUGAUGGAGAUGAUAUUCGGCCAUGAAUGUUACAUUCUUGGUUGGUAUUUUGAUGUUUUUGGUGAUGAGGUAUGAAGAUGGUUGAUUUUGAGUGUUUAAUAAAAAGGAUACAUGAAUUAUUGUUAAAUAAUGGUCGAAUGUAGCAUGAUUAAAGAUGUGAAUAAAUUGAAGUUAAGGAGGUUGUCAAUGAAAAAUAUGAGUUCUUGGAAUUUCGAAAGAAAUAUAUUAGUCAACGGUUCAUUGAUCAAAAGCGUAAGGAAUUCUUGGAACUCAAGCAAGGCCGUAUGACAGUAUCUGAAUACGAACAUGAAUUCCUAAGACUCAGUAGGUAUGCCCGGGAGUGUGUAGCUAAUGACGUUGCUAUGUGCAAAAGAUUCGAAGAAGGAUUGAAUGAAGAUUUAAAGCUACUAGUUGGUAUUUUGGAGAUAAAAGAAUUUGUAACACUAGUCGAACGAGCCUGCAAGGCGGAAGAACUUGGAAAGGAGAAGAAGAAGGCUAAAUUUGAAGCUAGAGACUAUCGUAAAAGAUCGACGGGUAAAGCUCCGUUCUCAGCUGUAAAGAAGUUCAGGGAGGACACUAAUAAGUCGAGGACGACUGUGGGAAUUUCCAUCAGAGCACGACCAUCGAUGGACUCCCGAGCUACUUCGGUAGCUAGUGUGGGCAAUAAUCAUCAAGAGAAACCUGAAUGUCCCCAAUGCGGAAGACGACACCUAGGUGAAUGUUGGGGUAAGUCUAUUAACAGGGCCUGUUACGGAUGCGGUUCGAAGGACCACUUCAUUAGAGAUUGCACGGAGCUUGAUGAGAAGAAUAAGAUUCAAGGUGCAAGACCUAGUGGAGUGACAACUAGAGGUAGACCACCGAGAAUUUUAGGAGGUAGGGGUGGUAGUCAGAGAGGGGCCUCUGAUACGGCUGUUCGAGCCGAGAACCGUACUCCUGCUAGAGCAUAUGCCAUUCGCGCACGAGAGGAGGCAUCCUCCCCCGACGUCAUCACUGGUACCUUCACUCUCUUUGAUACUAAUGUGAUUGCAUUGAUUGACCCUGGCUCUACUCAUUCAUAUGUAUGCGAAACCUUAGCAUCCAGUAAGACUCUACCUGUUGAGUCUACUCAGUUCGUAAUUCGAGUGUCAAACCCUUUGGGUCAAUACGUACUUGUUGAUAAAGUGUGUAAGAGAUGCCCUCUAAUAAUCCGAGAAUCCUGUUUUUCGGCCGAUUUGAUGCUUUUGCCGUUUGACGAAUUUGAUGUUAUUCUUGGUUUGGAUUGGUUGACCGCGCAUGAUGCGGUUGUGAAUUGCAAAAGUAAGACUAUUGAUUUGAGGUGCGCAAAUAACGAGAUAAUCCGAGUUGAAUCUACGGACUUAAGGGGGUUGCCAGCUGUAAUAUCAGCAAUGUUGGCCCAGAAAUAUGUAAGAAAAGGGUGCAAAUCAUACCUUGCGCAUGUACUUGAUGACAAAGAAUUAGAAAAGAAACCCGAAUCUGUGCCGGUGGUUUGUGAAUACCCGGAUGUUUUUCCUGAAGAAUUACCGGGUUUACCACCUGUUCGGGAGAUAGAGUUUGGUAUUGAGCUUGUACCUGGGACUACGCCGAUUUCGAUGGCUCUGUAUCGUAUGGCACCAACCGAGUUAAAAGAGUUGAAAGCUCAGUUGCAAGAAUUGACGGAUAGAGGUUUUGCUCGACCAAGUUUCUCACCUUGGGGUGCACCAGUAUUGUUCGUGAAAAAGAAGGACGGAACCAUGAGGUUGUGCAUUGACUAUCGUCAACUGAAUAAAGUGACAUAAAGAAUAAAUAUCCAUUACCGCGUAUUGAUGAUUUGUUUGAUCAACUAAAGGGAGCCUCAGUGUUUUCAAAGAUAGAUUUGAGAUCGGGUUAUUAUCAGUUGCGGAUCCGAGAUUCGGACGUACCCAAAACUGCUUUCAGAAUGAGGUACGGUCACUACGAGUUCUUAGUGAUGCCGUUUGGGCUCACUAAUGCCCCUGCGGUAUUUAUGGAUUUGAUGAAUCGGAUCUUCAGACAGUAUUUGGACCAGUUCGUAGUUGUGUUCAUUGAUGACAUCUUAGUCUAUUCAGGAGAUGAGACCGAACAUGCUGAGCACCUGAGACUAGUGUUGCAAAUUUUGCGGGAUAAGCAGUUGUAUGCUAAGUUCAGUAAGUGUGAGUUCUGGUUAAGAGAGGUUAGCUUCUUGGGUCAUGUGGUAUCCGCAUCGGGUAUUCGAGUCGACCCGAGCAAAAUUUCAGCCAUACUUAACUGGAAGCCUCCAAGAAAUAUUACCGAAGUUCGGAGCUUCCUGGGGCUCGCCAGUUAUUACCGAUGAUUUGUAAAAGGUUUCUCGAUGAUAGCCACACCAAUGACGAAGCUACUUCAAAAGGAUGCUAAGUUCGAAUGGACGGAGAAAUGUCAGAAAAGCUUCGAUCAACUGAAAACUCAUUUGACUGAAGCUCCAAUUUUAGUGCAACCCGAAUCAGGCAAAGAGUUUGUCAUUUAUAGUGACGCAUCCCUACUCGGGUUGGGUUGCGUAUUGAUGCAAGAAGGUCGAGUUGUGGCCUAUGCGUCGAGACAAUGGAAGCCACACGAGAGAAAUUAUCCAACCCAUGAUCUCGAACUAGCCGCCAUCGUAAUUGCUUUGAAAAUAUGGCGACAUUAUUUGUUUGGCGAAAAGUGCCAUGUAUUUUCAGAUCACAAAAGUCUCAAAUAUUUGAUGACUCAAAGAGACUUAAAUCUGCGACAAAGACCUUGGCUUGAGUUGUUGAAAGAUUACGAGCUUGUCAUUGAUUCCCACCCGGGAAAGGCUAAUGUGGUUGCGGAUGCCUUAAGCAUGAAAAUCAUUGUUUGCUUUACGAGCGAUGAAUGUGCACUUGUCUGUUCUACCCGACAAUAUGUUAGUAGCUGAAUUAAAAGCCAAACCAUUAUUGAUUCAUCAAAUUCGUGAAGCCCAGAAAGUUGAUGAUGAAUUGGUUGCAAAACGGGCUGAGUGUGUUUCGAACAAGGAAUCGGAGUUUCAAAUUGAUGAUGAUGAUUGUUUGAGGUUCAGAAGUCGUUUGUGUGUUCCAAGGAAUUCGGAACUCAUUUCGAUGAUUCUGAACGAAGCCCAUUGUAGCCGAAUGUCAAUUCACCCGGGGAGUACGAAAAUGUACAACGAUUUGAAACGUUGGUUUUGGUGGCAUGGUAUGAAACGAGACAUCUCCGACUUUGUUUCGAGAUGUUUAAUAUGUCAACAAGUGAAAGCGGAACAUCAAGUGCCUUCAGGAUUACUUCAGCCGAUCAUGAUACCCGAGUGGAAAUGGGAUCGAGUCACAAUGGACUUUGUGUCUGGACUGCCAUUGUCAGCAAGUAAGAAGGAUGCGAUUUGGGUUGUUGUUGAUAGACUGACUAAGUCGGCUCACUUUAUCCCCGUGCGUACGGAUUUUUCAUUGGAUAAACUAGCCGAAUUGUAUGUUUCUCAGAUUGUGAGAUUACACGGGGUACCUAUUUCUAUCGUGUCGGAUAGAGAUCCAAGAUUCACCUCGCGAUUUUGGAGAAAAUUGCAAGAAGCUUUGGGUACCAAGCUGCAUUUUAGCACUGCUUUUCACCCCCAAACCGAUGGUCAAUCUGAACGGAUAAUUCAGAUACUUGAGGAUAUGUUGAGAUGUUGCAUCCUCGAGUUCAGUAGUUCAUGGGAACGGUAUUUACCUUUGAUUGAAUUCGCUUACAACAAUAGUUUUCAAUCAAGUAUUAAGAUGGCACCUUACGAGGCUUUGUACGGUCGUAAAUGCUGUACACCAUUGUUUUGGACCGAGCUCGGUGAAAGUAAAAUUUUCGGAGUUGAUUUGAUUAAGGAUGCCGAACAGAAAGUAAAGGUAAUCCGUGAAAGUCUGAAAGCAGCCACAGAUCGUCAAAAAUCGUAUGCGGAUUUGAAACGAAAAGACAUUGAAUAUCAGGUGGGAGAUAAAGUGUUUCUUAAAGUUUUGCCUUGGAAAAAGGUACUCAGAUUUGGCCGUAAGGGCAAGUUGAGCCCGAGAUUCAUUGGGCCGUGCGAAAUCUCCGAACGAGUUGGUCCGGUUGCGUAUAGAUUGAUUUUGCCCCCUGAACUUGAAAAGAUUCACGAUGUCUUUCAUGUUUCGAUGCUUCGACGUUAUAGAUCCGAUCCGUCACAUGUGAUUAAUCCCUCAGAAGUUGAAAUUCAAUCUGACUUGAGUUAUGAAGAAGAACCGAUUCGUAUCCUAGCUCGUGAAGUGAAAGAGUUGCGAAACAAAAGGGUUCCAUUAGUUAAGGUGUUAUGGCUCAAACACGGGAUCGAGGAAGCUACUUGGGAAACCGAGAGCUCGAUGAAAGAACGAUACCCAAACCUAUUUACCGGUAAGAUUUUCGGGGACGAAAAUUUCUUAAGUGAGGGAGAGUUGUGACAGCCCAAAAUUGACCCUAGUCGGGAAGUGGUUUUGGGACCGCUAAACCGAGUCACCGAAAUGUUUGAAUGUGAUAUUUAUUGUCUAGAAUAUGUAAUUAUGAAUGUGUGAAAAUUUCAAGCUUCGAUUUAGUCGAUUGCAUGUGAAUUUAGUCAAUAGGACUUAUGUGCGACAUUUUUGAAAUGUGACAGGUCAAAGCAUAAGGACCUAUUAGUGCAUGAAAUAAAAAGGGGGGACUUGCAUGUCAAAUUUCCCCCCUAAUUAGUAGUGGCCGGCCAUGACAAGCAUGGUAGACCAAGUGUGAUGGGCAAGACAUGUCAUAGACAUGUUGUGUUGGUGCAUCAUGGGUGGAAAAAAAUAAAAUAAGGAGAAUGGGCAUAAAAUAAUGAAAAGGAAUAUGAUGGAAACAAAAAAAAAUUGUGUGGUUGUCUUCCCCCCCCCCCAUUUUGCCGAAACUAGAAAGAAAAACAAAAAAAAAGUGCUCAUCCUUUGGUUCAUCUUUGGCCAAAAAUUUUAAGGAGGGAGGAAGAAGAAAGGUUGAAGAGGUUCGGCCAUGCAUGUAACUAGGCUAAGGUAUGUUUGAUGAUGUUCCAUGAGAUGCAUGCAUGUUUUAAGUUGUAAGUUUGAAAUCUACCUAGCCAUGGUUCAAAUUUUGUUAAUUGAUGGAGAUGAUAUUCGGCCAUGAAUGUUACAUUCUUGGUUGGUAUUUUGAUGUCUUUGGUGAUGAGGUAUGAAGAUGGUUGAUUUUGAGUGUUUAAUAAAAAGGAUACAUGAAUUAUUGUUAAAUAAUGGUCGAAUGUAGCAUGAUUAAAGAUGUGAAUAAAUUGAAGUUAAGGAGGUUGUCAAUGAAAAAUAUGAGUUGGAUGAGUCUUAAAGAAUAAAAAUUUAGGUGACUAGAGGUCAAGGACAUUCGGUCAAAGGCUUGUGUGCUAGCAAAAUCGGCCAAGUGUUUAUGUGGUGGAAAUUAAGUGUUAAAUGGAAUGAAAAUGAUAUUAUAUGGGGGUAUGUAUAUUCGGCCAUACGAGUAAAUAUAUAGAUGAUGUUAAAUUUGAUUAUGUAUAAUGGGCAUUAAGAUGUGGAAGUUAAGAAAUGUAGUUAUAUGUGGAUUUACAUGAUGUUAUAGUUGACAUUGUACAUAUAUACAUACAUUUGGCCAUCUAAUUGAGUAUGAAGGUGGUGUUAAAUCUAAUUGUGAUGCCCAUUCCGAAGUAUAUAUACAUAUAUAUAUACAUAAGUAUGCCCAUUCGUGAUGUUACCUUUAAUUAUGUGUAUAAUCGACUAAAUGGGUAAUUAGUGAGGAUGGUUGCCAAAUAUACAAACAUACAUAUGCAUGUGUAAUUGAAUUAUGAAUGUUUAGCAAGAUGGUUAAACUAGUUGAUUUAUUGAUUAAGCUCAAGGAGUUAAAGGAGGAGAAUCAAGCAAAGGCAAAGAAAAGAUCAUCAAGUAGCCGAGUUGGAACCGUCUUACCCAACACAAAGUAAGUCAUUAAGCAUAUAGUUUGUAUUAAUUCAAAUGGUCAUAACGUCUAUGUAAUGAUGCUGAAUGCAAUGAUAAAUAUAUAUAUACAUGUAUGUAUGUGGUGAUGAAAGUGUUGAAUGAAAAGAAAAGAGGUGAGAUGUAUUGAGUUGUUGAUCUCGGCACUAAAUGUGCGGGUAUAAACAUUUAUGAUCAUGAGAUUGGCGCUAAGUGUGCGGGUUUAAAUUGUACAGCACUAAGUGUGCGAGUUUGAUUAUGUAGCACUAAGUGUGCGAGUUUGAUUAUGUAGCACUAAGUGUGCGAGUUUGAUUAUGUAGCACUAAGUGUGCGAGUUUGAUUAUAUAGCACUAAGUGUGCGAGUUGAUUAUAUAGCACUGAGUGUGCGGACUUAAUAUAUACUUUUGAAUCACUAUGGACACUAAGUGUGCGACAUUAUUGAGUUGAUCACGGACAGCGGAUCGGGUAAGUACCUUGAGUUCAUGGCCAAUAGGCGCUAUGUUUAUAAUUGGAGUUGAGCUUGGUAAGUUUGAACCUAUGUGACAAUUAUAAUUGAAGUCACGUACAUAAGAUUUAUCGUGGAAUAGAUGAAAGGUCGUUUAGUUGUAUGAUUGUAACGAAAAUAAAAUGAUGUAUGAAAAUGCCUCAAAUAUCCUAUUGAUUAGUAUAUGGAAUGUGAAUGCAUGACUUGGUAUGAGAUUGAACCGAUAGGUCUAAGGAACUAUGGUAUGGUUCGGUAUGGAUGGAGUAACUAGCCUCGUUCCAUUUUGUUUCCUCUUGUGAUAAUGUUGUUAAUGGAUGGUAGUGCAUUGCUUAUGACUUACUGAGUUAUAUACUCACUCGGUGUUUCCUUGUCACCUAUUUUAGGUUUCUUGGACUCGUCUCUUUUUGCGUGAUCGGGCCGUCAUUGGAGUCAUCACACCGGCUAGCAAGUUUUGGUACUUUCUUCUUAGUCGGCUUAGGAGAACAUUUCGGCAUGUAUAGGCUAUUAUGUUGUGUUUGAACUUUGGUAUGUAAACUUUUAGCCAUGCGAAAAUGGCAUAAAUGUUCGGUUGGGUUUGGUUUUAUAACGUUAGGUCGUAAGUCUUGAUAAUUCGACUUUUUUUUUAUGCCAUAUGUCAUGGUUAAUUAUUUUUGGUGUUAAAAUUCAUGAUGUGGCAAUAGUGUAGUAGGGAGAUGUUUGACAAUGAUUAGCCUUUGGCAUGGCUAGUCAUGAUCAUAAUUGGUGAUAUGUAUGAUGAAUUACUAGUUAGAUCAAGGAGAAAUCACGAAAUAGGCAUAGUUGCUUUCGUAACAGAUGCUGGCAGCAGCAGUGACGUGAGAUUGAAAAAUCACUAAAAAUAGUAGGAGUGGAAUUAAUUGAUGAAUAAAUUAUUUAAUCGAAGCUCGAUGAGUGUAUUUUCAUAUAGAAGUAACGAAACAAUCAUAUGGACAGUAUGUUAAGAGAUAUUCAGGUUCUCGUGAGAUAGGGCCAGAACAGUUUCUGGAUUCCCUGUUCCGACUUUGGAAAUUCAUUAUAAAUUAACCUGAGAUAAUUAGGAGUCAUGCCAUAUAUUUACAGAUUCCUCUCUGAGUCUAGUUUCUAUAGAAACAAACGCCAUCGGUAUUUAAGCUCUGUGCAGGGAGAUAUCCAAGUCGUAAUGCGCAAAGGUCAGUGUAGUCGAUCCCUGUAACAUGGGAGACUUUGAAUAAUAAACUGUACUAAUUGGCCCGACCAAAAAUUCUACAAAAAUUCUACCAUAUAGGUAUAUGAGUCUAGUUCCGUGGAAAAUUUACGGAACUGGAUUUCGAGUUUCAGAACUCAAGAUAUGAUUUUUAAAGCGACUAGUACGCAGAUUGGCAGCUUGUCUGGGAAAUGUCAAAUAAGUGGUUUGAAGUCUGUUAACACCUCGUGUUCGACUCCGGCGACGGUCUCGGGUUCGGGGUGUUACACUCACCCCGUUUCUAACUGUGCAGGUAAUCCCUAAGCUUAGAUGGUUUGGAGCUGCGAGGGACUCGGAGAUGGCCACACUACUAUUUCUGUUUCUUUUAAUUGCAAUAAGUAACCAGUUUAUUUUUUUAUAAGUUUUAUCUUAAUUAAUAUUAUUAUUUGGUUUUGGGUUGUAAUAAGGCCAUUUUAAUUAUUUUUCUGGGAUUAUUUUAUUUUAUACCCUAUAUUUUACUGAUAACAAUCCAAAACGGGUUAGACUUAGGGCGCGUUCCCAAAAUGAUAAUUGUUUUCAAAAUAAUGCAACGAUACAAUUAAUUGGUUUAUCAAAAAUAUCUACUUAAAUGAAUUCCACCUCGUUUUUCUCAAAACCUAACCUCGCACCAAAGUGUGGCAAUGGUUGUGCUCAUGUCUAGGAUUGGAUCCAAUCAAGAGCUUGGUACUUAAGCAGCCUUCAUGGCUCACCUCCUCUGUUUCGGAUACCUACCUGGUGCACAGCUUCUAUUCACUUUAUUAACUUAGCAAAGACUAUCUUUUAAAACACUAAGAAGGACAUUGAAAGAGGCAUGGGUUUUCUUAAAAACUUCAAUGUGACACGUCAGAUCCGGCCAUAAUGUCUGGGCUAGGUUUGGGGUGUUACAUUUAGUGGUAUCAGAGCCAGAUUACAAAACUCGGCUAUGGUAUGGGUAGCAAAAAAUUAUUGUUAUUUUUUUUCUUUUUUUGAAAUUGGGGUUUGAAAAGGGUUUUUCUAAAAUUUUGUUUUGAAAUUUAUCAACGAAACUUGACUUGUUUCUGAAAAGAUGUUACUAGAAGUGUGGCACACUGAGUCUCCGGCACCAAAUCUAUAAGUUCUCUAACUCUGUUUACUGUUAUAGAUUGAAAUGAUAUAUUGAGAAACCACUAUAGAUAGUAGCACUAUACUGGAACUCUCUAGUUAGAGUAAACUGUAAUGCUUGAAUUUAGAUUUAGUAUUUAUUUGGUUUGUGUUCUGGAAAUGUAGAAAUUGGUUGCAUGUGAAAUCUAUCCGCUCCGAUGGACAAAUGUUUUGGGUGUAUGUUAGUAUUAUUAGUAUCAGAGUCCACAGCGGAAGUGUGGUGGUGUAGUCUGAGAGUGGAAAAUUUCGAGGACAAAAUUUCUUUAAGGGGGUAGAAUUGUAACACCUCGAAUUUGGGCCUAGAAGUAUUGGGCCUUGAGUGGGGGUCCGUAAGGAGGUUGUAUAUAGGUAUUUAAUUGUGCAAUGAAAUGAAACAAUUAAAUGUUUGCUUUAGUAGUUAAUGGCUUGAGAAGUGUUGGAGAAAUCUUGGGUUCAAAAUUGGGCUUUAGUAAAAUUUUUGGUAUUAAGUGAAAAAAACCUGGAUGCUUGGAUGAGGGCCUUUUAAAUUAUUGUGUUAAAUAAAUGACACAAGGAGCAAUGUGGUUUAGUGGAAGUGGCGUAAUUAAGGUUGUAUGGGAGCCUGGGUUCAAGCCUUGGCUCUUGCAAUUUAUUCUGUUUUUUUUUAAGGGAACCUGGACUUUGGCCUUUAGACUUUAUAAUUAAUUGGGGAUAAAAUAUGACACAAAAAGAGCCUGUGGUGAAGUGGCAAGGUGGCGUCAUAGAGUUGGCAAGGAGGUCCAGGGUUCGAAACUCAUGGCAAUCAAAGAGCAUUUAUUUUGCUAACAGGGGGCGGCAAGAGUUGGUGUUGAAUUUAAACUCUGAUGUUGGAAGGAUCCCACAUUAGGAAGCUAACAUAAGAGUGGAUGCGAAGCUGGCUUUAAAUAGAGAGAACCAUGAGGACAGUAAAGGUACCUUUCUUGGCUGAUCCCUUUCGCUGUAUGGAGUGCUCGUUUGGGUUGGGCGUCGGCUAAGAGUGCUCAGAGCGUGGAUUAACUCCAGUCUCCUAUCAGGUGUGUAUUUCUCACUACUCUAGUUGUAGGAUGGCUACUUCGGGCCGCGAUGGGCUGAAAGGGGCCAUGUGGGCCCAAUAGGCCUACGAGCCCAAUUGGAUAAGUUGUUUGAUUGUGUAGUAAAUAUUGGACUAGGCUAGGUGAAUCUCAUAUUUGUGGCUAGAUUUGGGCUAAAAAGGUCACACGAGCAUGUGGGCCCAUUUGGGCCGAGAAUGUGCUUUAGGGCCAUUCGUAUUGUUAUCCCUAUUUAAAAUACUUUAGUUUGCAUAUUACAGAAAUGCCCUCGACUUGUAAAAUUACCAAAGUACCCUCGAUUUAUAGAAUCACUGUUUUACCCUUGAUUUACAGAAUUAUUAUUUUACCCUCGAUUUACAAAAUUACUGUUUUACCCUCGAUUGUGAAAUUACUAAAAUACCCCUAUAGGGUAGAAUUACCAAAAUACCCCUGAUUUACAAAAUUACAAAAAUACCCUUGAGUUUCUAAAAAUUACAGAAAUACCAUUGGUUUAGAAAAUUACUGAAAUACCCUUGGUUUGUAGAUUUACCAAAACACCCUUGUAGGAUGAAAUGACUAAAAUACCCCUAAUAGGUAAAAAAACUAUAAAGCCCUGUAGGGUAAAGUGACCGUAAUACCCCUGUAUGGUAAAAUAACGAAUAUGCCCUUUUGUUCCGUAUGACUGAUGUGCUUAGGAUUUACAUAUAUUGAUAUUGGAUUAGUUAAGUUUGAGUGAUAGGUGAUGGUUAUUGUAGGUGAUUGAUUUUGGAAACGUUUCAACUUCAACCCAUAACAGGUGUGUAAUAACCCUCGCAGUAGUUUAGAUUAAUAUUCGCCGAAAAGUCGAAAUGCUAAAAUUUCGGCAUUUCGGGAACUUGUGAUGUUGCCUUUGCUUAAAGAUGCGACAGAUACGAUAUGAUUGGUGUUUGGAUCGAUGGAGCAGGUAAGAGCGCAAUUUUGUGCACGAUGGUAAGUUGGGCCUCAAUGGGCUAGAAUCGGGCCUAAUGGGCUUUCGGGUCCAUUUGGGUAAUAGAAAAUGGAAUCUGGGAAAGUUGCAUGUUAACACGGUUAGUACUGUUGUAAAAUUUGGAUUAAGUAGGCUUAGUGGGCUAAAUCAGCAUUCGUAGGGCCCAUUAGGGGUUUUGGGCCCAAAAGCUCGAAUUUGAUAAAGUGGGUUAAAGAUCAUUGUUUAAACACUCAGAAAUAUUGAUAAUUGUUAAUGAACAUGGAAAACCCUGAUAUUUGGUAAAAUUAUGAAAUUACCCUUAUAAUAUGAAAAAUGACUGUUUUUCCCUUGUGGGCAAGUGACUGACUUGGACUGUAUGGUUGAUGGAUUUGAUUGUGAAUAUAUGUUGGUGAUAUGAAUGACUUGAAUGUGAUUGUUUGAUUCAAAUAUGGGCAUGACAUUCUGCAUACAUGACAUGUUGCAUGGGUUGGGUUUUAUAAAUGGAGGAAGUGCUAAAAGGGCUAUGCCCCAGUUUACCGAAAAGGGCUUUGCCCCAAUUUAUCAAAAAGGGCUUUGCCCCAGUUAUUAAAAGAGGCUAGGCCUCUAGUUAUAUGAUAAAGCAACUAUGCUGCUAGUGGAGAGUUUGGUUGGGUGGGUUGAGUUAUUCCCCACAUGGUGUGUUGGUUGGUACGAGUGGAGAGUAGCGGAUGGUGGGUUGAGUAGUCUCCCUAAAUGGGCUUGCAUACAUUCAUUGAUAUUACAUGUUAUAUUGAAAUGGGCCUAUGGGCCAAACCGUUUACAGUAAAGGCUUCGGCCCAGUAUAUGUCGAGACUGAAUUAGGGCUUAGGCCCAUACUGCUACUGUUUAAGGGCUAAGGCCCAGACUGUACUGUUACUGAAUAGGGCUUUGGCCCAAAUUGUACUGACACUAUGUUAUUCACUGUUUGUUUGUUGUUGGGGAUUACACACUGAGUUUUCGUAAGCUCACCCCAUUUCUAACUGUGCAGGUAAUCCCUAAGCUUAGAUAGUUUGGAGCUGUGAGGGACUCGGAGAUGGCCACACUACUGUUUCUGUUUCUUUUAAUUGCAAUAAGUAACCGGUUUAUUUUUUUAUAAGUUUUAUCCUAAUUAAUAUUAUUAUUUGGUUUUGGGUUGUAAAAAGGCCAUUUUAAUUAUUUUUCUGGGAUUAUUUUAUUUUAUACCCUAUAUUUUACUGAUAACAGUCCAAAAUGGGUUAGACUUAGGGCGCGUUUCCAAAAUGAUAAUUGUUUUCAAAAUAACGCAACGAUACAAUUAAUCAGUUUAUCAAGAAUAUCUACUUAAAUGAAUUUCAACUCGUUUUUCUCAAAACCUAACCUCGCACCAAAGUGUGGCAAUGGUUGUGGGCAUGUCUAGGAUUGGAUCCAAUCAAGAGCUUGGUACUUAAGCAGCCUUCAUGGCUCACCUCCUCUAUUUCGGAUACCUACCUGGUGCACAGCUUCCAUUCAUUUUAUUAACUUAGCAAAGACUAUAUUUUAAAACACUAAGAAGGACGUUGAAAGGGGCAUGGGUUUUCUUAAAAACUUCAAUGUGACACGUCGGAUCCGGCCAUAACGUCUGGGCUGGGUUUGGGGUGUUAUAGCUGGGCAUGCUUUAUCUCAUCUCGUGAAUAGAUCAGAAUGUCAUUAAUUAAUACAACAACAAAUCUGUCUAAAUACGGUCUAAAUAUUCUGUUCAUCAAGUCCAUAAAUACAACAGGUGCAUUAGUCAAACCAAAUGGCAUAACAAGAAAUUCAUAAUGUCCAUACCUGGUUCUGAAAGUUGUCUUUGGCACAUUCGAGUCUUUAACCUGUAAUUGAGAAUAUCCAGAAUGAAGGUUGAUAUUUGAAAAUGUUGUCGCACUUUUCAGCUAAUCAAACAAAUUAUCAAUACGUGGCAAAGGAUAUUUGUUCUUGAUCAGAACUUUGUUAAGCUGUUGGUAGUCUAUACAUAAUCGCAUUGACCCCUCCUUUUUCUUGACAAACAUCACAGGAGCACCCCAAGGAGAAAAGUUGGGCCUAGAAAAGCCUUAUCUGUCAACUCUUGCAACUGUGCUUUCAACUCUUUUAAUUCUAUAGGUGCCAUUCUACACGGAGCUAUCGAUAUUGGAGAUAUUCACGGCACUAAUUCAAUAGCAAACUCAACCUCUCUGACUAGCUGUAACCCUGGUAAUUUUUCUGGAAAUACAUCUGUGAACUCACAAACAAUCUAAACUGAUUCUAAUUUCAAUUCUGAAACCCAAGAAUCAAAUAUGUAAAUGAGAUACGUUUCAUAGCCCUUUCUAACAUAUUUUUGUGCUGUCAUAGCUGAGAUAACAUUAGAUGUACCAUCCAGCCUAUCCGAUUCCAUUUGGAUCCUCUCACUAUUCUGACAUUUUAACAUGAUAUGCUUUCAUCUACAGUUCACAACAAUGUCACACAAAGUUAACCAGUCCAUACCCAGAAUCACAACAAGCUCAUCAAAGGGUAAUAACAUCAAAUUAGCUAGAAAGUUGUAACCCUAAAUCAUCAAAGGAUAGUUUUUACAGACUUUAUCAACUAAUACAUACUGACCUAGAGGGUUCAUUACUUUAACCAUAAAUUCAGUAGACUUAAAACGUAUUUUCUUAUCUGACAUUAAAGUUGUGCAUACAUAUAAGUGCAUUGACCCCGGUUCAAUCAAAGCAUUAACAUUAGUAUCAAAGAUAGAAAACAUGUAACAUCCCGAUUUAGGGUCUAGUCAGAACAGUGGUUUCGAGACCACAAAUCUGACAUAAGAAAAUUUAUUUUUAUUUUAUUUUUAUGGUCUACACUUUUACAGGGUGAAUUUUUGAAAAUUUUGUUUGAAAAUUUUGACGUUUGGGCACUCAAUUUGGUUAAAAGGACUAAAUUGUAAAAAGUGCAAAACUUGAGUUCUAUAUGCUAGAGGUGUCCAAUUGUUAUGAAAUUUUAAAUUGGAGAUCCUUAUAUGGUAAUUAGACCAUUGGUAAAUUUUUUGGACAAAAGGGGACAUGUAAUAGGUGAAAUAGAAUAUUUUUAAGUUAGGGGCAGUUUGGUCAUUUAGUAAUUAAGAUGAAUUAAAAACAAAAUUAAAAGCCAAUUUUUGUCCAUCUUCAAGAUAUGGCUGAAACUUGUAUGGACAAACCAUGGAUAGGGUUUCCAAGCUUUCAAGCUCGAUUGUAAGUCCGUUCUUGCCCAAUUUUUAAUGAUUUUUACGUUUUUGAAAUCCUUGUAACAAGAUCUAGCUAUUUCUACCAUUUAUUUGAGCUAGGGUUGAUGUUUAAAAAUUUACCCAUGUGCUACAUGUGUGUAUUUUUAUGUUUAAUGGAGGAAUAUGAAUGUUUAUUGUGUGUUAAACGACUUUUACUAAGUAGUUUUCGGUGAAAACGCUAAAAAGGACUAAUUUAUAAAAGUUAUAAAAUUUGUCAUAAAAGUGUGAUUUAGUGGAAAUUGUGGGCUGCUAUAGUUAUGAGAAUGAUUCGACUAGGAUUAAAGUACAAAGAAAUUGAAUAGAUUUCAUUUUACGAUCCUAGGGGCAAAAAUGUAAAUAUGACAAAGUUUAAGGGAAAAAAUGUAAUUUUGCCAUAAUAUGAUUUUUGGGUCACAAUGAAUAAUGUGACUAAUUAGUAAGCUAAAGGUGAUAUUAUAGAUCAAGGAAAAUGAGAUUCGGACUUAGAUCGGGGAAAAACAAGUAUUUAACAGUUAAGUCCUUUUUUUCACCAUUUUUGGUAUCGAGGUAAGUUCGUGCGAUAAUAAUAAUGCAAUGUUAUACUUGAAUGUUAACGCUUGAUAUUACAUGAAUUGUAAGUUCAUGUGUAAAUAAUGUGAUGUAUUACAUGUUUUAAUGCUUUAAUGUUAUAUGAACUUAAAUGCUUAUUUGCUAUCAUGAAUUAUAUGCCUUGAUAUUCCAUGAGUACAUGGUUGGUAUUAUGGAUAUCGUAAAAGACAUUAUGAGCAAGUUUGAUAGUGAUGCAACAAGCAAGGAAACCUUGUUUGAACCUUAGGAAUAGUCUAGGAUACAAGUGACAUGUCACUAGGAAUUAAGGAAUCUGAACUCAUUGAGCGGUCUGGGUUCGUGAUAUAUAUGUGACAUCUGAGCUCAUUGAGUGGUCUGAGUUCAUGAUGUACGAGGUACAUGUAAUUUGGUUUUGGGUACUGGUCUUGUGUGUCCUACCGGUGGCUAGGUAGUCCUAAGUGGUUCGGAUACCUGACAGCUUGUGUGAGUAGCCCGCGUAGUUACACCCUGAUCGAUAGCUUAUUCUAGCAGGCCUGUAAGUAGCUCCAUUGUGAGCAUUACAUGUUAUGAGAUAGCUUUGGCUACGUAUGUAUAUGUGGUACUUAUGUGCAAGUUUUUCGCGUAUCCAAUAGUAUUCCAAGUGUUCAACGAGUAGUUCAAAGAAUGAUUUGAUGAUAGUCCCAAAAGGGAAUGUCAAAGACAAGAAUGAAUAUGUGAAAAAUGUUGAAAGGGUAUAGGAAUGUACGCUAAGCUUAUGGUUAUUGAGAUUUUGAAAUGUCGAGACCUCGGUGAGCUAAGAUAUAUGAAUUAUGAUUAUGAAUUUUGUUGCAAUAUCAUGCUAACUUACAUUGUGUAAUUAAACAUGGAAUCCAUGAAAUGGCGAGUUUAUGAUUAGUUAAAAAUGAACUUAUGAUAGUUAUCAUUAUAUUGCACUAAAAUAGUUUUGGACAGCUUGUCAUGAAUAUAAGUAAAAAGUGCAAAUAUGACUGUAUUACCUUGAGAUCAUGUUGUGAGAAUUGGUAGAAGCAUGUUAAUAAAAUGCUUAUUAUUUUCAUACGGACUUACUAAGCUUUAAAGCUUACUCCCCUUCUUUUCCCAUCUUUUGUAGAUUAAUUUAGCUAGCUCGAGUUGGAGAUCGCCAGAUAUGCUAUCACACUAUCAAGCUAUCAUGUUAGGUAUAAGUGAAUGCAAACCUCUUUAAGUUUAUGGCUUGUAUAGGGACUUGGUUAUUUGCUGUAUGAGUUAUUAUGAAUUGGUUAAAUGUAUUGGCUUGUAAAGGCUAAAGGUUGGAUGUAAUUUGUAGCCAUGCAAAUUGGCUAUAUUGGCUAAUUGGUUGUAAGCCCAUUAAUUAUGCAUGUGCAUAUGGCAAUGUUUUAUGAUGUGAUUUAUAUUUUCUUGAUAUAUAUAAUGAAUAUGAAUUUAUUCAUAUGUUAAUGCCUUUUGAGUGUGAAUUUAGCAUGAAAUGAUUUGGUAAGGCAUGAUGUUUAAUACAUGAUAGAUGAUGGUAUGAAAAUCAUAUGUUAUUGCUUGAUGGUAGUUUAUUUAUGCCAUGAAAUGUACUAUUGAAGUUGUGUUUAAGUAUGUGCAAAUAAGGGUGACAAAUGACCUGGUAAAUAGCCAUUUUCUUGGCUACACGGGCAGAGACACAGCCGUGUGUCUCAGCCGUGUGGAUAAUACAGCCUAUAACAUGGGCAUGUGACUUGGCCGUGUGGCCCUUAUUUGUUGAUGACAUCAUAAACAAAGAGUUACACGGGCUGAGGACAUGGGCGUGUCCCAAGCCACACAGACGUGUGUGACCACAUGGCCUAAUCCACAUGGGCGUGUGACUCUCCAAACAUGGAAAAUUUCUUAAGUGUUGUAAAAUUUUCAGAAAUUCUCAGUUUAGUCCCGAAUCACCUCGGUGUAUGUUUUGGACCUCGUAGGCCUGUAUAAGGGACAAUGUACAUAUGUUUGAUUCAUUUUAAAUUAAAUGAAAUUUUAUGGCCCGUUUUUAUGAAUUGUGUAUGUUUAAGUCCGGUAAUGCCUUGUAUCCUAUCCCAGCCUCGGGUACAGGUAAGGGGUGUUACAAAACGUACCAAUGAUCACAUCAGGUGUUGAAGCUUCCUCUGAGCACGAAUCGCAUAAGCACUAGCUAGUGCCCGUGCUUAAUAUCUAACAGUAGAAUCUUUCAUUCCACCUCGACUUUUACCCAUAUUUCCAAUGUUUCGGGGUGGUCUCUCUCUUGUAGCUGUAUUACUCGAAUGAGUAUUCUGAGCCUUUUCUUUAUCAAAUUUUCUACAUAAUAUCUAAUAAUCAUAGGAACCACAUUUAAAACACAACUCGUCUUUCAAUCUGCAUUCACCAAAGUGUCGUUUAUUACAUCGUUGGCAUUCAGGCUUGUUGUUCCUGACACUAUCUACACUCGCUAUAAAUGUAGCCUGAGGUUUUGAUUUCAAAUGAUGCUUUCCUUUAUCUCUCCCAAAAUAACCCACCGAAGCUAAUCAACGACUAUGAAAUUAUAAGAAUUCCUAAUGACAUGUCAUUUGGAUCCUAAGAAAUCCUAAGGUUCAACCGAGACUCAAUAUUCAUCAACUGAUCAUUGCAUUGAGAUGUUUAUAUAUCGAUCCAUUUACAUUACAAAUAACAUAAUAAUAUCCAAUUUAAAUAAUAUAAACACGAUAAACGUUCAUACGAACUUACCUCAAUGACUAGGGCGUAGAAGUUAAAUCAAGCUAUUCUGAAGCUUUUGUUUUGCCUCGAUCUAGGUUCUUACGUGUCUUAUCUUGAUCUAAAUAGAAAACUUCAAUCCAUUUAAUACUUAUAAUAUUAAAUUUAAUCCGCAUUUCAUAUUUAUGUAAAAUUACCAUUUUUCUCCUAAUAUUUUAACUUUUUCACAAUUUAGUCCUUAAACAUUAUUUCACAUUAAAACCCUAGAAUUUAUACCUUUAACAAUUUAGUCCCUAAUUUACAAAAAUUCCUCAAAAAUCACUUUAUAAAACUUUUUCAUUUUUCAACCAAGAUUCAUAAUCUAUAAUUUAACAUCAAAAUCCAUUCAAGAAAAUUCAUAGCAUAACCCUCAACCUUUAACAAUUUUACAAAUUUACCCCCGAGCUAGCCAGAUUAAGCUACAACGAACUCAAAAAUAGAAAAGUCAUUAAAAAAGAGGCUUGGGAACACUUACACGCAAGGUGGAAAGCUAACCAAGUGCUCAAGCUUAAUGUAUAUGGUGAUUUUUGGGGGAAAGAUGAAAUGGGGAAGAAGAUGAAUUUCAUUCAUUAAGUUAUUUAAUUUUAUUUAUCAAAUUACUAUUUUAACCUUUGAAAAUUAUAAUAAUUUCAACAAAACGAAGUCCAUAAACAUCCACUAUCACUUUAACUGGUCUAUUUACCAAUCAAGUCCGUUAGUUUAAGAUUUCAUAGCUAUUUGACUCCUUUAACUAAUAGAACUCUACUUUUACACUUUUUACAAUUUAGUCCUUUUUACUUAAUUAAUCAUGCAAACAUCAAAAUUUCUUAACGAAAAUUUAAUAUGACCUUACUAAUAUCCCACAGACAUUAAAAUCAUAAUAAAAUAAUAUUUAACUCAUCGGGUUUGUGGUCCUAAAACCAUUGUUCUGAUAUGACUGAAAAUGGGUUGUUACAGUAAGCUUUCUCAUACCUAUGUUAUCUUCUGAACUAUUUGCUUAUGUGUUUGUGAAUAUGUGAAUUGACAUGAGAUGCUAUAACAUGUGGUAUUUGGUUAUGAUAACUGUUGUAAAAGUGCAAAUGUGUACAUGUUAUGUAUAUGUUAAAUGUUACUGACAGUGUUUUGCUAAAGAUGAAAAUAUGCAGUGAUAGUGCACGGAUAAUCAAUAAGUGAUAUGUGUUUGAAUUUGGAUAUUUUGGCCUUGUGAUUUUGAAACUGUUGGAUAUUGUUGGCAUGCCAUAGGAUUGUGAGUACUCACCUAUAUGUACAGUGAUUUUGGGCGUUGAGGCUCUAGGACAUUUUGGAGGAAUAAGGGAAUGUGAGCUGAGCUCCAUUCAACGGGACGUGUGAGGGGAAAUAAGGAGAGUGUUAGCUUUAUACUUCACUUUUGGGACAUGUUGACUCUAUAAUUCUAUGUGGUGUGUUGGAGAUCCACGUAUCUGAUGAGUGGUGAUAGUGCCCACUUUUAUGUGUCAUAGCUCAAGUGUCAAUUUAUCUAUAAACAUAUUUUUGAGUAUUGUUAUAUAGGCUUAAAUGUUAUGAGAUUAUAUGUGCAAUGUGAUAUAAGCUUAAAAGUGAAUAUGAUUAUCAUGUAAAUGAUUAGUAAUAAAGCACGAGUAAGUAUAUUAUAACACUAGAGUUGGAACUGUUGAGGUUGUGUUAUAUGGUUGUUUCGUCGAUGCUUGAUAAAUUGUUUGCAUGGUAGUUGUUGACUGAGCAUGUGAAGCUCACUGACUCCCUUCUUAAACAACUGCAGAUUAGUAGUGUUUCGGUGUGAGCGGUGUGGUUCCAAAGGGUGAUCCAAGUAAACCCUUUUUCAUUAUUUCGUAGGUGUUAUUAUUAUUUGUUUUUGUUUUGGGGAUAAGGCAGUGUAGUAGACUUUUACUAAUAUUUUCCAUGAUUUUUUGGAUGCUUCCAUAGAUUAUUUGUUCCUAAGUUUAUGAGAUUCAUUUCAUAUUACGUUGAUUAUUGCUCGGACUUAAUUUUGAUGUUUGAGAAUAUUACUAUGGCCGUUUUUAUGUUUAUUUGAUGAUGAUAUGAUAGCAUGAUGAAUUGGUACAAGUUGGAAUGACUUAUAGGCUUAGAAAUGUGGUAUUUUUUUGGUUUGAAGAAGAGGUAUCGAUAUUCGUGUUGUAAAAAUGAUACCUCUAUGAUUUUGAAAUGUGCAGGAAGUCAAGAUCAUAAAUUGGUAUCGAUACCCUAACACGAGUAUAGAUACUCAAGGUAAUUUUAUCGAUACGUUUACAAAGGUACCGAUAAUUUUUAAGACUUUGGUUUUUUUUUACUAGAAACAGAAUGCUGAUUUGGUAUUGAUUUUACAAAUGAUAGCUAUACUGUACCAGAAAAAUAUUGAUACCCUUAUCCUAGUGUCGAUGCCUACGUGAUUGUCUUGGAAAUUUUGCUAAAUGGUCUCUAUACAUGUUUAAUUAUUAUUUUAAGACAUUUUGAUGUAUGCUUAGCGUGUAAUGAUGAUAAUUAAAGAGUGCGAUUGACUUAAAUCCCAUACGAAUGAUAAUAUGAAAGAUAUUACUUUUAGAAUGAGCUUUUAUUUGUUGUGUAUGACAUGAGAUGGUCGUGUGGCAUCUUGAUAUUUGGGCUUGAUGACUGAGCUGAGUAUAAGGUGUUACACAAACAUAUACCAAAAAGUGAAGCAUAAAGCUAACACUUUCCAACACACCAAACAUGUCCCCUUGAAUGGAGUUUAGCUCACAUUCCCUUAUCUCUCUAACCUGUCCUAGGGCCUCAAUGCCCAAAAACACAAUACAUAUAAAUAAGUACUCACAAUCUUAUGGCAUGCCAACUAUAUCCAACGAUUUCAAGAUAGCACAAGGCCAAAAUAUCCAUAAUUACACAAUUUUAAUACUGAUUUAAUGCACAUCACCUCUGUUCAUAUUCAUCGAUUUAAAUCACAACUUGUAAACUAUGCUUACUUAUCGGAUUCAUAUUUAAUUGCACUUUAGGUGCCACAAUAAUGCUCAUUGAGCCUUUAUAGCAUCAAAAUCAGUACAAUAUAUAUCACGUACAAGUAUUCUCACAUAUUACCUGUCAUAAUAAUAUCCUAUUCCACAAUUCAACACAUAUAUACUUACCAAAAUUCCACUUGCUUUCGCUACAUAUUUGCAUUAUUAGCAUUUCAUUAUCACUUUCAUUUGGUAUGUAUAUCAUGCCCACAACACAACACAACACAAUUCACAAUAGUCAUCACACAUGUCUUAUAUCACAAUAUCGCAUAAUAAUAAUCAAUCCACAAAUAUUCACAUAAUCACAUAAUUUGCCAAAAUAAAGCAAGGGAAAUAAAAAGCUUACACUCAAAUUUUAGGAUAGGGGUUUAGGCUAUUUCUAUGCUCUCAAGUAACACUAUGAAUCGUGUCUACAAGUAGCGGUUCCAAACAUUCAUUUUUU
Molecule: long non-coding RNA, 85054 nt
Filed under: Gossypium barbadense (sea-island cotton)
Lineage: Eukaryota; Viridiplantae; Streptophyta; Magnoliopsida; Malvales; Malvaceae
Description: long non-coding RNA (GBAR_LNC010428)
Source: RNAcentral